Molecule: long non-coding RNA, 67409 nt
Filed under: Lathyrus oleraceus (garden pea)
Lineage: Eukaryota; Viridiplantae; Streptophyta; Magnoliopsida; Fabales; Fabaceae
Description: Pisum sativum (pea) long non-coding RNA (PSAT_LNC021935)
Source: RNAcentral
ACAACUAGUUCAUUGAAAUGAUAACUUGUUUAGUACACAAACAAGAUCUUACUUAAUACAUAGAAAUAAGAUCUUACGGAACAUAGAGAUUAAAAACAUAGGAACAACAUGAAAAGUUUUUAAAAUGACAUAGAUAUUGAUUAACAAAGAUAUGAACUAGUUUCGGGUAUUUUUUAACCAUCCAUCAAGGUAAACUUGUUUGGAGUCAGGGGUGGAUUUUGGUCUAAUAUCUUUCAACCAUCCAUCAAGGUAAACUUGGUUGGAAUCAGAGGAGGAUUUUGCUUUUUCAGCUCGAGUGUCUUUCAACCAACCAUCAAGAUAAACUUGUUUGGGAUCAGAGGUGGAUUUUGUUUUCUCUGCUCGAGUAUCUUUCAACCACCCAUCAAGGUAUACUUGGUUGGAGUCAGGGGUAGAUUUUGUUCUCUCGUUUCGAAUAUCUUUCAACCAUCCAUCAAGGUAAACUUGGUUGGAAUCAGAGGAGGAUUUUUCUUUUUCAGCUCGAGUGUCUUUCAACCAACCAUCAAGAUAAACUUGUUUGGGAUCAGAGGUGGAUUUUGUUUUCUCUACUCGGGUAUCUUUCAACCACCCAUCAAGGUAUACUUGGUUGGAGUUAGGGGUAGAUUUUGUUCUCUCGUUUCGAAUAUCUUUCAACCAUCCAUCAAGGUAAACUUGGUUGGAGUCAGAGGAGGAUUUUUCUUUUUCAGCUCGAGUGUCUUUCAACCAACCAUCAAGAUAAACUUGUUUGGGAUCAGAGGUGGAUUUUGUUUUCUCUACUCGGGUAUCUUUCAACCACCCAUCAAGGUAUACUUGGUUGGAGUCAGGGGUAGAUUUUGUUCUCUCGUUUCGAAUAUCUUUCAACCAUCCAUCAAGGUAAACUUGGUUGGAGUCAGAGGAGGAUUUUUCUUUUUCAGCUCGAGUGUCUUUCAACCAACCAUCAAGAUAAACUUGUUUGGGAUCAGAGGUGGAUUUUGUUUUCUCUACUCGGGUAUCUUUCAACCACCCAUCAAGGUAUACUUGGUUGGAGUCAGGGGUAGAUUUUGUUCUCUCGUUUCGAAUAUCUUUCAACCAUCCAUCAAGGUAAACUUGGUUGGAGUCAGACAUGGUUUUUGUUUGCUUUGCUCGAGUAUUUUUCAACCAUCCAUCAAGGUAAACUUGGUUGGAGUCAGAUGUAGAUUUUUCUUUCUCAGCUCGGGGAUCUUUUAACCAUCCAUCAAGAUAAACUUGUUUGGAGUCAGAGGUGGAUUUUGUUUUCUCUGCUCGGGUAUCUUUCAACCAUCCAUCAAGGUAAACUUGAUUGGAGUUAGGCAUGGACUUUUCUUUCUCGACUCUGAUAUUUUUCAACCAUCCAUCAAGAUAAACUUGGUUUGAGUCACUUGCAGGUUUUGUUUUCUCAACUCGGGUAUUUUUCAACCAUCCAUCAAGGUAAACUUGGUUGGAUUCAGAGGUGGAUUUUGCGUUCUCUGCUCUGGUAUCUUUCAACCAUCCAUCAAGGUAAACUUGGUUGGAGUUAGGUGUUGACUUUUCUUUCUCAGCUCUGAUAUCUUUCAACCAUCCAUCAAGAUAAACUUGGUUGGUGUCACCGGUAGAUUUUGCUUUCUCAGCUCGAUUAUCUUUCAACCAUCCAUCAAGGUAAACUUGGUUGGAUUCAGAGGUGUCUUUUGCUUUCUUUGCUCUGGAAUCUUUUAACCAUCCAUCAAGAUAAACUUGAUCAGAGUUCUGGGAGGAUUUGGUUUUCUCUGCUCGUGUAUCUUUCAACCAUCCAUCAAGAUAAACUUGGUUAGAGUUAGCAAUGUGUUUUUGACUCUUCAAUGGAUUUUUGAGCCAACCAUCAAGGUAAGGUUGAUCAACUUGUAUUUCUUGUACAUUCUCUUGCUGAAGUUUGAUAUAUCGGGCAAAGCUUCCUUGUCCAUUCUAUAAUACAAUUGAAUAAAUGGAUAUUAGUGAGUUAUUUUUGGAUGGUAUAUAUGAUUACAAAAACAAAAUAAUGUGUUUUAUAAGACACAUUAUGUUGCACAGGUGAGACACAUUCAUUAUAUAUUUCAGAUGGAUACAAAAUGUGAAAUAAAAAUGAAAGAAAAACAAUUUUUAAAAUUUCAUUGCGGCAUAGAAAACAUUAUUUUAUCAAAUCAAAUAGAACAACUUGAUUGUAAGUGAAUGAUGAAAUCAAAUCAAAUAAAGAUGAGAAAUGAUAGAUUGUGAUAAAUAAAUGAUGAAAAAUAUAAGUGUAAAAGAUACAAGAAUGGAUGCAAAGUUAGUAACUUACGAUCAACAAGAGCAUGAUAAAAGGGAGGAGAAACAAAACAUCUUUGUGUGUCAUUUCUUUAAUGUUAUGAUUUUGUGGGAAAAUUGUUUUAAUGUGAAAAGAUGUAUUGAAAUGGAAGUGAAUUGGGCUAUUUAUAAGUGAAUGAAAAGAAAAACUACAUUAAGGAUAUUAAGGACAUUGCGACUUUGGUUGGCAAGAUUAUUUUUUAAAUAUUUAAUUUAUUUUAUUUUUUAAAUGUUUAGUUUAAUUUAUAAGUUUAUAUGUCUAAGAAAGAUCAAUUUACUUUUUCCAAGAUCUAUUAGGUGUGUUGUUUUGAGUUAUAAAUAAAAAAUUCAAAAAAUUGUUUGUUUGGUAUCAUUUUUUUAAUUAGAAGCUCCUAACUAAAUUCUCCAGGUUUAAAAUAAAUAAAUUUUAGAAAAGCUACUGCAAUUAGUUUUUUAUUUUAAAAUUAAAAAUGAUUCUCUUAAAAACUUUAAUAAAAACCUAUUAAAAUGAUAAAGGUGAUUUUUUAAAUGUUAAACAAACAUUUAUUUUGAUAAGUUAUUUCAAAUAAUUUAAAAUUUCAUAAAUUUAUUUUAAUUUAUAAUUGAAGUGGUAAUUAUCAUAAUCUCGUCUCUUGAGUUCUAAUAUUUGAGCUAAUAGUAUAAAUAUUUUUUAGUUGAAUUAAAAUUUGCAUUAAUGAUAGUUUCAAUUUUACAAUUAAUUAAACUAAUUUAGUAGUUAAUUUUAUUAAGUGUAAUAAAUGCAAUGAAUUAAUUUAACUACAUCCCCUUUAAUUCGAGGUGGGUGUAGGUAUUCCGAGACAUUCAAAUUUGAAGACUAAUAUAUAGAUUAAAAUUAUUUAUUAAUUUAUUUAAUGGUAAUUACAUAUUACAAAAUUUCAUUUUUGGAAAAAAGUUAUUAUUUUAAUAUUUUAUAUUUUUUAAUAGUUAUUAUUUUAUAAAAUUAAUUAUAAUGAGUAUAAUAUUUUAAUUUUAUUAUCAUCAAAUAUACACGACAUCAAAAUUACCAAACAUGAAAUCUAAAUAUAGGGAUCCAAUUAAUUGAAUUGGAAUUUACAUUGUGAAUCAUGAGUCUUCUGCCACCAAUUCCUAGGGACUCACUACCUAGCAAACAAUGAAUACAAAAUAGUAUCACAAGAAACACUAAAAUACUGUGUUGACCCUUGCAUGUUUAAGAUGUUCACAUGUAGCUAGGGUUUGGGUGGUUAUGUAGUUAUGCUUACCUAAUAGUAAGACUGUGUUGACCUUUGCAUGUUUAAGAUGUUCACAUGUAGCUAGGGUUUGCGUGGUUAUGUAGUUAUGCUUAUCUAAUAGUAAGUUAAAAAAUUGUAGUUAUCUAAAAAGUAAUAAAUUAUUAUAUUGACCGGUCUAAAGAGAAGAUAGAUAAGUUANGUAGUUAAUUUUAUUAAGUGUAAUAAAUGCAAUGAAUUAAUUUAACUACAUCCCCUUUAAUUCGAGGUGGGUGUAGGUAUUCAGAGACAUUCAAAUUUGAAGACUAAUAUAUAGAUUAAAAUUAUUUAUGUUCGUCUUAUAUAUUUUUUUUUUAUAUUUUAAUAUAAAUAUUUAUUAAUUUAUUUAAUGGUAAUUAUAUAUUACAAAAUUUCAUUUUUGGAAAAAAGUUAUUAUUUUAAUAUUUUAUAUUUUUUAAUAAUUAUUAUUUUAUAAAAUUAAUUAUAAUGAGUAUAAUAUUUUAAUUUUAUUAUCAUCAAAUAUACACGACAUCAAAAUUACCAAACAUGAAAUCUAAAUAUAGGGAUCCAAUUAAUUGAAUUGGAAUUUACAUUGUGAAUCAUGAGUCUUCUGCCACCAAUUCCUAGGGACUCACUACCUAGCAAACAAUGAAUACAAAAUAGUAUCACAAGAAACACUAAAAUACUGUGUUGACCCUUGCAUGUUUAAGAUGUUCACAUGUAGCUAGGGUUUGGGUGGUUAUGUAGUUAUGCUUACCUAAUAGUAAGACUGUGUUGACCUUUGCAUGUUUAAGAUGUUCACAUGUAGCUAGGGUUUGCGUGGUUAUGUAGUUAUGCUUAUCUAAUAGUAAGUUAAAAAAUUGUAGUUAUCUAAAAAGUAAUAAAUUAUUAUAUUGACCGGUCUAAAGAGAAGAUAGAUAAGUUAUUAUAAUCAAAUAUUAUCUAAAAAACAAUAAAUUAUAAGGAAUAUAGUUUCAUUAUUUUUAUGUUUAUUUAAAAAAUAUAAAUAUUUUUUAAAUUAAUGAUAAAUAAUUGAUUUUAAAUGUGAUGAUGGUUUAUAUCUUUACAUAAGAAACUAAAUGAUAAAAUGUGAAUAUUCAUAUCUAACAUUAAAUAUUUAUCUAAAUAUGUAGGCCAGCCUCAUAUUUAUUGUAAAUUUUUUAACAAAGCUUUUAAUAAUGUAAAUUAGAAUAAUGUAGGCCAGCCUCUCUAUUUAUAUAAAAAAAAUAUUUUUUAAAAUAUUUUUAUAAUAAAAAUAUAAAAUUUGUCACAAAACAAUUUUAUUAUUUUAUUAACUAUAAAAAUAUAGGUUAUAAAUCACAUAUUUCAUUUAUAAUUCAUUAACCAGUAAAAUACGUAAUAUUAAUCAAAUUAUAAUAUUAAAAUAUGAAAUACACAAUUUGCUUAAUUAUUAAUUAUUAUAUUUUAUAUUUUAAUGUCAAAAUUUAUUGAUAUUAUUUAUUUUAUUAAUUGAAUACAGUAAUAAAUAAAAUAUAUGGUUAAUCACCUAUAUUUUUGUGAUUAAUAUAAUAAUAAAAUUAAUUAAUAACAAACUUUAUAUUUAUAUUAUAAAAAUAAUUAUAAAAAUAAAUCAAAAACGAGUUUAAGACAACAUAGGAAAAAGGGAGACUCGGAUAUCGUAUCUCAAAGACGGUUGAAUUAUUAUUAAUAUACUGGAAUCGAAUUGGGGGUUUAUAUUUGAUUCAUAAUAAAUGAUUAUGAAAAGUGAUUAUAAAAUAAGUUGAUUUAUUGAUUCGGUUCCUACCUACCAUUGAUUAUUAUAGCGCGAAUGAAAGUGUAAGAAUUAUGUUUCUUAUUUGCUGAAUUAAGCAAUCAGUUAAGAUUAAAGCGAAUUAACGGAUUAAGCAUACGUUAACACGCAAUCAAAAUUAGGGAACAAUAAAUAUUCAAAUCAAACAAAAUUACUAAGUUUGAAAUUGUACCUCAUUCAGGUCUUGGUUCAAGCAUCCCUAUGUGCAUCACAUUUAACUUUGCAUAGGCCAUGAACUCAAGUCUUUUGGUAUGGAAAAAUGCAUAGAUCCAUAUGCCCGAUUCACUUCAUUCAUAUGAUGCAGAUGAUCAAGGAUGAUUGAUCCAUUUAAGACUUAGUUCCAUUGGUUCAUUCUUUGUUGCUUAAGAAAUCUCAGGGUUUUACUAAGAAGAAAGAGGUCGAGACCAGUGUCGUGAUAGUAAAUAUCUACCCUCAAGUUCAAGCACCUAUGACUCAUGUGUCAUACUACCCUUAUCUGUACAUUGUCGCUGCUCAAUAUCAGCAACCUGCAUACCAACCGCAAUAUCAACAGCCUCCAUGGGCUCCAAUUUCUCAGAAUCAACAAAAUAGCAGAAACCAGAGUCUAGGUCAGGGCAGACGUUAUGAUAGAAAACGUCCUCAGCCUGACCAUAUCCCUGUAUCAUACACUCAGUUGUUGUCGUAUCUUGUCCAGUAAGGAGCAAUUGCGCCAAAAGAGAUUCCGCCUGCAACUCCUCCCUAAAAUCACAAGCAUAAUCCUAAUGUGUCUUGUGCAUUUCAUGUCGGAUACAUAGGGCAUUCUACAGAGGAUUGUUUGGUCCUCAAGACCAUAGUACAAGAGUUAAUUGAUCAUAAGGUUUUGUAAUUCUCUGAGGCAGGACCCAAUGUCAUAACCAACCUAUUGCCAGACCACUGUGGACAGAUAGUGAAUGCAGUUUAUGGCGAAGAUUCCUCAGAUUCAGUUGAUUCUUCAGAGAAGUACUGAUGCUAGCAAUAUCAUAUUGAUUCAAUCAUGUAUCAUUUGUAAUCUUUUCUUGUUUGUUAAUUGUUGUUCAUUUGUAAAACUUGUCUGGUUUUUCAGAUGAUAAUAAUAAUGAAAUAAGCGUGCAUGUUUUGCUUAAAUCCAUUCGUGUUCACUCAUAUUUUAUUUUAUCAGUAUCAAAUUGUUUGUCGAACAAAAUCAAAAGAGAAUGAUGAAAUUAAAAAUAUGCAAGAUCGCUGUUUGUAUGCUUUUGAAUAAGAUCAUGUUGAUGAUGCAAGGCAUUGUUCAAUCCCUAAACACCGGAGAUAUAAGGAAGAUAAUCCCUAGUCAACCCAUUUGGAUGUUGUAGUAGGAGUUUCUUUCUUUAACACAUAAAAUCCUCAUGCUUAACUAGGGGCAGGGUAUUCUUCAUUUAGUUUAGACUUGCAUUCAAAUUUCAGAAGGAGAAUAUCUCAUCCAGUGAUCAAUCAUAUCAUAUCCCUCUCAAGAGGAUGGAAUCACAAAUCCAGGAUGGUUAUCCCUUACCAUUCAAAAGGAGUGAGAUAGUCACGACCCAUGCAACAAAUCAAGAAAGUCGUGUCACACGGUUUUCUCUAGUACAAAAAGAAAAGAUGAAAAAAUUAAAAGUCCGCUAAGUCAAAAACUUGAAAACAAGAUUGACUUAUAUGUGUGUGUUUGGGGUGAGUCUGGAGAUGCACCUUCGAACUUCGAAAUGUGUGAGCUUUUUUGUAUUUUUCAUCUCAUGCCCUAGUAAUAUAUAUGGUGCAUUAAAAAAUAUCCAUAAAUUAAGGGAUUUGGUUAACACACUCUUAGGAUUGUUUUUCGACCCUUGUGAAAAAUCAAAACUACCUUUAGAAUUCAGAAAUAAAUCUUUGGACGCACCUCAAACACACACACAAUCAAUUCAUUUUUGAGUCAUGAAGUUAAUUAGGAAAUGCAUCUCCUUAAAUAUUAACGGGGGUGUAUUUUCCAAACCUAUUGAACCACACAGAAUUGCAUAAACCAAACAGAUGCAGAAAUAAAGAUAAAUCACAUUGAUAACAUGAAAAAUGAAAUAUUACAUAGAUAAUCGUUAACAUAAAUCGAACUUUGCAUUUGAACAUCAAGAUGGACGUUUCAACAUAUUUAUAAUAUCUUUUAUCGAUCUCGCAAUCAUCGCAUCCAACUUGAUCAAACAUUUUAUUUCGUAACGGUUAAAUGUAUUUCACAUAACUCUUAAAUCCGCAUCCGUCUUCAGCUUAAAGUUGUUGAACUGAAUCUACCAUUCAUUAUCAACCGAGAGUGAACCUUACUUGAGUUUCACAAUUCUUCAAUGAACUUAAAUGCAAUUGAGGACUCCGCGUAGUUGAGUCAUAUUUCAUGGAGACUCAUAAUGCGUCCAAAAAUGCAUUUCCAAAAUUUUAGUGGCAUUUUUAAAUUUUUAUAGGAUGGUUUUCCAGCACUUAUGUAGAGAUAAACAAUUUCCUUAUUAAAGGUCUCUGAGAGGAAUUGAAAUAAAUAUAUUUAAAAAAUUAGUAUUAUACUUAUUUAAGGAAUAAAGUUUUCUAACCAAAAAUUUUUCCCUAAUUUUUUUGUGCCUAAUUUUUUUGCUAACAAAAUAGAGACCUGAUUAUAUUUCACUAAUUUUCAUUCAUCUCUCAAUUAAUAUCUCUCAUAACCCUCAUUAACUCUCAAUUAAUGUAAUUCAUAUCAAUUAAUUGUUUUUUGAAAAUUUUGUAUCCGGCUUCGGACCAACUAGUUUAGUGAAUUGCUAAUUUCAUCUUUAAGUGUUGGAAAAAUACCUUAUAAAAAUUUGAAAAUACUCUUCUGAUUCCAAAAAUGCAUCUUCGGACGCAACUUGCACCUCACCAAAACACGCUUCAACUUGUUGAUGUUUUUUAUGUAAUUCAAGUGGUGUAACUGGUUACCUCAUGUGGUGUAAACGGUUACCACUAAAGUUGAUUUAAUUCAAUAUCAGAUGUAACCGAUUAUCCACUUUUGUGUAACGAUUACAAGCUUAAUAUUUUGAUUUUUUCUGAUAUUUUACUUGGUCAAUUCAGUUCCCAAUUGUGUUGUAUCUCUUGUAUAAGUGUUUAGAAUGUACACUCAUCUAAGGUUAAUGCAAUAAUAAUCUCUCAUCCUCAAUUCUCCUCUUUCACACUCCACAUCCAAAGUAUCUCCACCAUUAUUCACCAAACUUGUGGUGUCCUGUUCCAACAUUUGACAUCAAGAGUCUGGUUCAGAUCCACAAACACUUAGUGUGCAACAUGAAUUAUGUUUCCAAUGAAAAAAUCCCUCCAAACCUACCUAUCCUUGAUGCGAAGAAUUAUGAUAAAUGGUACAAGGAAAUGAAGAUGUUGUUUGGCUACCAAGAUGUUCUUACAGUAACUCUUAAGAGAAAAUAGUUGUCCCUGACCUACUUUGAGUCUCCGUAGGGAAAUUGGACUGGCAAAGAGGGUAGAAGGAGGAAACUACUCAAGUGAGCUUGAAGCAACAAAGGCAGUGAGUUUAGUUCCCACGCGGGGAAGAACGUUUAUAACAAGAGCCAGGAAGAUAAAUUAUUUUAUAAUACCUUCUCAAAAGUAAAAUGAGCUAUGAGAAAGAGCAAGAAUCUCAAGCGAUUGGCUGAACUUAACCUAGCUCGAGCUACAUGGCGGUUGAUCAAGGGAUACCGGAAAGAGGCAAACAACAGAACCUCCGGGUUUGAAGCUUUUCAUGUCGGGGCGAGGUCAAUCAAGGGUUUUGGGUCAGUGAAAGCUCGAGUGCCCCCUUCAAAAGUAAGGUGUCGGGAAUGCAACCAGUGAGGUGACCCGUUCCGUUAGGGCGGAUGAAAGAAGUUAUCCUGAAGCAGCGUCAAAGGCCUCUGUAGGCCCUUCAACAGGAUUUUUUGUCGUGUAGCAUUCUGUUUUGGCUACUCACGAAACUCUUUAUCCUUAAUAGGAAGAACUCCCUUUAGAGGAAGGAUACAAAGACCAAGCCUGUCUUUCUCUCUUAAAAAGGGCAUAUGGGGCAGGGCAGAAAGACUAUUUUAGGGGACUAAUCUGCUAAUGAAUGAAGGAAGGAGAAGGCCUUAAUUGUCUAUCCAAAGGUCCGCCUUGGGUGGAUUUAGGCGAAUCAAGUGGGUGGGAAUGAUCCGAGCCCCCUAUGUAAAUUUCAGUAAGGUAACUAAGGUUUACAAUAAUUCAUUUCAGUAGUGCGUUACCUUGCAGCUCUAUCUAUCGGGUAGUCAGUCUCUUGGUCAAAAGCCGGUACCUAAUUCCCCUGCUGGUGGGCCGAUCCUCGUCUAGCGGUGGGAACCGGCUGGUAUGGAUCAAUUGCUUGCCCUGUCUCUCUUCUGUUCAACCAUCGAGAAUCCGCAGUUAUCUUUGCUCAUUGGGUGGGCGAAGGAAUCCUUUCUAUUGAAUAAGGGCUUUGAGAAGCAGGCCAUUCCGUUCCAGUUAGCACCGUAUCCCGCUUUUCCGAUAGCAAAGGGCCUUCUAAUUAGCGUGCUUUGCUUAACCCGGCAAGAUCCGAGAUCAGACCUAGUCCUGCUGACCCGCUACCCUUGAAAACAUACUUUUUGCCACCUUACGACUGGUGUGAAGGAACUUAUUGCACAUAUUUAACAUGGGGAAGGAAAGAGGAGGGAAUAAAGCAUAUUUUAGGCAUCGANUUAAGAAAUGUCCAUGAAUUAAGGGAUUUGGUUAACGCACUCUUAGGGUUGUUUUUCGACCCUCGUGAAAAAUCAAAACUACCUUUAGAAUUCAGAAAUAAAUCUUUGGACGCACCUCAAACACACAUAAUCUGUUCAUUUUGUAGUCAUGAAUUUAAUUCGGAAAUGCAUCUCCUUAAAUAUUUAUGGAGGUGUAUUUUCAGAACCUACUUAACCACAAAGAAUUUCAUAAACCAAACAGAUGCAGAAACAAAGAUAAAUCACAUUGAUAACAUUGAAAAAUGAAAUAUUACAUAGAUAAUCGUUAACAUAAAUCGAACAUUAUAUUUGAACAUUAAGAUGGACGUUUCAACAUCUUUAUAAUAUCUUUUAUCGAUCUCGCAAUCAUCGCAUCCAACUUGAUCAAAUAUUUUGUUUCGUAACGGUUAAAUGUAUUUCAGAUAACUCUUAAAUCUGCAUUCGUCUUCAGCUUAAAAUUGUUGAAAUGAAUCUUCGAUUCAUUAUCAAUCGAGAGUGAACCGUACUUGAGUUUUGUAAGAACAAAAAUAGUUCUACAAUAGAUUCCAUGAUUUUGAUGAUAACAAAGGAUGAAACCAAAAAUGGCACCCUAACGAAAAGUUUCUAAGUGUGCAGGGUUCUAAAGAAAGAAGAAAUAAAUCUGAUGAUGUCAUCAGAUGCAAAACAAGAUCAGAUGUAAAAUCUCAAGUAUCAGAAGCAUCUAAAGAGGAAUCUCAUUCAAGAAGCUCUGACUCUGGACAAAACUACAAAGUAUCAGAAGCAUCUGAACAUGAAGUAAAGUCUAGAAGCUCUGACUCUGAACAAAUGCCUUCUGUAAAUUCUGAAGUUAUCAGCGCCAUCUGAACUUUCAAGAGAUAACAUCAGAAGCCAGUUUCUCCAGAUACACAAAGACUCUAAUCAGAAUUGUUAAUCAUGAUGAAGUAACGUUUAAGCCAAGUUAAAGUUCUGCAAAUGGAUUUCCUCAAUUAGAAAGAGACGUUAAUCUCCACUUCCAAGAGAGAAGAUACUAAUUGUGGUAAGUAGUCACUUCUAAGAGAAAAAGUCUACUGCAGAAGCUAUUAAUGGAAUGGCGUAACUACAUCUCAAUAUCCAACAGAUUCAACGCUACUUCAACUCUACUUCAACUCCUAUAAAUAGAGAAGAAAUCUCAUUCAGUAAGAAAGAAAUCACUAGCCAAAACUAUACUGAAAUUAUAUCACGCUCAAGAAAAACAUCUUUGUUCUUCAAAGAUUUUCACUAAGCUUUUGCUUAUCAAGUGAAAAAUUUGUUCUUAAGUUUGUAAUAUUUGCUUUCUUAGAAGCACUCUAGAUUACACAUCUUGUAUCUAAUUUUUAUUUGAUUUCCUCAAGUGACUCUUUGUAGUCUGUAGACUUGAGAGGACUAAGAGAUUUUCUUCUCUCUUAGGGGUUGUUUGUAAUCUUUCAAGAUUAGUGGAUUAAGUCCUUGUUGAAGGCGAAAUCACCUUGGCCGGGUGGACUGGAGUAGCUUUGUGUUAUAAGCGAACCAGUAUAAAAUCAUUGUGUGAUUUUCUUUUGCAAAAGCGCUUAUUUUUCAAACAAUUCAAACCCCCCCUUUCUUGUUUUUCUCACCUUCAAUUGGUAUCAGAGCUCCGGCUCUGUUAUUGAUUUUCAAAUCAAACACUUAACCGUGUAGAGAGAUCCAGUGCGAGAAAAACAAAUGGCCCACUCAAAUGAGAAAGAUUCUUACAAUGCCAAGCCUCCUGUUUUUGAUGGAGAAAAGUUUGAUUACUGGAAAGAUAGAAUCGAAAGUUUCUUUCUGGGUUAUGAUGCUGACCUCUGGGACAUUGUCACAGAUGGAUACAAACCUCCAACCUUAAAUGGAGCUGAAGUUCCCAGAAGCAAAAUGUCAGAAGAUCAGAAACGUGAGUUCAAAAAUCAUCACAAGGCCAGAACAAUACUUCUAAAUGCUAUAUCAUACAACGAAUACGAAAAGAUCACCAACAGAGAGACGGCUAAAGAUAUACUUGACUCUCUGAAGAUGACCCAUGAAGGAAACUCCCAAGUCAAGGAGACGAAGGCUCUGGCGUUGAUCCAGAAAUAUGAAGCCUUCAAGAUGGAAGAUGACGAAGCUAUAGAAGCUAUGUUUUCCAGAUUCCAAACUCUUAUUGCAGGUCUUAAAGUGCUAGACAAAGGAUACACGACUGCAGAUCAUGUUAAGAAGAUUGUCAGAAGUCUGCCAAAGAAAUGGAGACCUAUGGUUACUGCUCUGAAGUUAUCAAAGGAUCUGAACAGUAUCAGCCUUGAAGAACUUGUUAGUUCUCUCAGAAGCCAUGAGAUAGAACUAGAGGAGGAUGAGCCUCAGAAAAGGAACAAGUCAGUGGCGCUGAAGUCCAGACCUGAAAGACGGAAGUCAGACAGAACCAAAGCUCUCCAGGCAGAAACUGCAGAUACUGACGACUCUGAACCUGAAGACUCUGAUGAUGAAGAAGAACUGUCCUUACUAACCAGAAGAGUUAAGCAACUCUGGAAAAGAAGGAACAACAACAACUUCAGAAGAUCAAGACCCAGAGGGGAUAGAUCAGAGUCAACUUCAAAAGGUAAACCUAAUAAAGAUAUUACCUGUUUUGAAUGUAAAGAAACAGGUCAUUAUAGAAAUGAAUGCCCCAAGCUGAAGAAAGAUAACUCUAAGAAAGAAAGCUUCAAGAAAAAUGCCUUCAGAACAAAGAAGGGAUUAAUGGCCACCUGGGACGAUAGUGAAUCAGGAUCAUCAGAAUCUGACUCUGAUGAACAAGCCAACGUAGCAUUUAUGGCUACCACAUCCAGCAGCUCAGAUGAAGAAUCUGAAGAGGUAUUUUCUGAACUUUCUAGAUCUGACUUAGAAUCAUGUUUAUCAGAAACUCUUACCUCUCUUCAGAAAUUAAAACAAAAAGUUAAAAGCAUUAAAGGCCUUCUUAAAGCAAAAUCUGAAGAAUGUAGUGAACUUGAGACAACAAUUCUAGCACAUGAAGAUACAAUCAAAUCUUUAACGUUAGAAAGAGAUGGAGCUAAAACAAAAAGCUUAAAAUUAGAAGAAGCGUUGUCUCAAGCACCACAAACUUCAAAUGAAAUUAUUUAUAAAUAUGAAGAAGCCUUUCAGAAGUUUCUGAAGAGUGGAAUAGAUAGGAGUAUUAUGGCAUCCAUGAUUUAUGGAGUAAGUCAGAAUAAUAAAAGGGGAAUUGGGUAUGAUUCUGAUUCUGAUAAAACUUCUACCAGUAACCAAAUUAAAUCACCUUUUUCAUACCACUAUACACACACACAAGAACACAAAUUUAAAAAUGCUAGAAGACCCAAAGUUGUAAGAAACUCUGGGAAAACUAAUCUGAAAGGACCCAAGAGAUUCUGGGUACCGAAAGAUAAGAUUAUCUAUGUUGCAGAUAUCCUAUGCAGCAAAGUUCAGACACCAGUCAUGGUACCUGGACUCUGGAUGCUCGCGACAUAUGACGGGAAGAAAGUCUAUGUUCCAAAGCCUGGAACUUAAAGACGCUGGCUUUGUAGGCUUCGGAGGAGAUCAGAAAGGAAGGAUCAGAGGCUCCGGAACUAUUGGUAAUGGUACUCUUCCCUCUAUAUCUGAUGUUCUUUAUGUAGAAGGAUUAAUGCAUAACUUGUUAUCCAUAAGUCAAUUAAGUGAUAACGGUUAUGAUGUAAUCUUUAAUCAAAAAACGUGUAAAGCCAUUAAUCAGAACGAUGGCUCUGUCCUUUUCACAGGCAAGAGGAAAAACAACAUUUAUAAAAUAAAUCUUUCUGAUUUAAAAGAUCAAAAUGUUAAAUGUUUAAUGUCAGUUCACGAAGAGCAAUGGGUAUGGCAUAGACGCUUAGGCCACAUUAGCAUGAGAAAACUUUCUCAGCUAACUAAACUUGAGUUAGUCAGAGGCUUACCUAAACUGAAGUUUUCUUCAGAUGCUCUGUGUGAAGCUUGUCAGAAAGGAAAGUUUUCAAAAACAUCUUUUAAAAAGAAAAAUGUUGUUUCUACCUCCAAGCCUCUGGAGCUUCUUCACAUUGACUUAUUUGGUCCUGUGAAAACAGCAUCAGUCAAUGGAAAGAAGUAUGGACUAGUAAUCGUUGAUGAUUACAGCCGCUGGACAUGGGUAAAAUUCCUAAAGCACAAGAGUGAGUCUCACUCUGUAUUCACCAGUUUCUGUUCUAAAGUGCAAAAAGAAUUUGACUCUAAAAUUGUUAGAGUCAGAAGUGAUCAUGGUGGAGAAUUUGAAAAUAAAGAUUUUGAAGAAUUAUUUGAUUCUAAUGGAAUAUCCCAUGAUUUCUCCUGCCCUAGAACUCCACAACAAAAUGGAGUUGUAGAGAGGAAGAAUAGGACACUCCAAGAAAUGGCCAGAACCAUGAUCAAUGAAACAAAUGUAGCAAAGCACUUUUGGGCAGAAGCUGUAAAUACAGCGUGUUACAUUCAGAAUAGAAUCUCUAUUAGACCUAUUCUGGAUAAGACUCCCUAUGAACUGUGUAAGGGAAGAAAACCCAACAUUUCAUAUUUUCAUCCUUUUGGAUGCAUUUGCUUUAUAUUAAAUACUAAAGAACAUCUGAACAAGUUUGAUUCCAAAGCACAGAAAGGUAUUAUGUUAGGAUACUCAGAACGCUCUAAAGGCUACAGAGUAUACAACACAGAAACCAAAAUUGUGGAGGAAUCAAUUCAUGUUAGAUUUGAUGAUAAGCUUGACCCUGAAAAGUCAAAGCUAGUUGAAAAGUUUGCAGAUUUAGAGAUCACUCUGGUAGAAUCUGAGAAAACUCCAGAAGCAACUGUCACUCCAGACUCUGAAGAAAUUAAAUCUCCAGAAAUUCCAAGGAAAGUCAAGAGUCGUAGCAACGUAUCUGAAGAUUUGAUUUUGGGAAACAAAGAUGAACCUGUUAGAACCAGAUCUACCUUCAGAACUUCUGAAGAUAUUCCUCUGGGACUAGUGUCUCUGAUUGAGCCUACGUCCUGUGAUGAAGCUCUUCAAGAUAACGAUUGGGUGGCAGCUAUGCAAGAAGAGUUAGAUCAAUUCUCCAAGAAUGAUGUCUGGGAUCUCGUUCCUAAACCCAGAGGCACUCAUGUCAUUGGAACCAGAUGGGUUUUCAGAAACAAACUGAACGAGAAAGGAGAAGUUGUCAGAAACAAAGCACGACUGGUAGCUCAAGGUUAUAGUCAACAAGAAGGUAUUGAUUAUAAUGAAACUUUUGCUCCAGUCGCAAGGUUAGAAUCUAUUCGUCUUCUUGUAUCUUUUGCUAUUAAUCACUCUAUCAAAUUAUACCAAAUGGAUGUCAAGAGUGCAUUUCUUAAUGGUUAUAUUUCAGAAGAAGUGUAUGUCAAUCAACCUCCAGGUUUUGAAAAUUCAAACUUUCCAGAACAUGUUUUCAAACUUAAGAAAUCCUUAUAUGGACUUAAACAAGCUCCCAGAGCUUGGUAUGAACGCUUAAGUAAUUUUCUUCUGGAACAAAAUUUUAUCAGAGGGAAAGUUGAUUCUACACUCUUCUGUAAAAAUCAUAAAAAUGAUCUCAUGAUAUGCCAAAUUUAUGUUGAUGACAUUAUUUUUGGUUCUGCUAAUAUCUCUGUUUGCCAAGAAUUUUCUAAGUUAAUGCAGGCAGAAUUUGAAAUGAGUCUAAUGCAAGAACUAAAGUUCUUUCUGGGAAUUCAAAUUAAUCAAACUCCAGAAGUCACGUACAUUCAUCAAAGCAAGUACAUUAAAGACGUUCUGAAGAAGUUUGAUAUGUCUGAAUGCAACUCUGCAAAGACUCCUAUGCACCCAACUUGCAUUCUGGAAAAGGAAGAGGUAAGCAACAAGGUUUGUCAGAAGCUCUAUCGAGGUAUGAUAGGCUCUCUUCUCUAUCUGACUGCUACUCGUCCUGAUAUUCUCUUUAGCGUCUGUCUUUGUGCCAGAUUCCAAUCAGAUCCUAGAGAAUCUCAUUUAACAGCUGUUAAGAGAAUUCUUAAGUAUCUGAAAGGAACUCCUAACCUGGGCCUGAUGUAUGAGAAAACAUCAGAGUAUAGGCUUUCUGGUUAUUGUGAUGCAGAUUAUGCAGGAGAUAGAAUAGAACGAAAAAGCACAUCUGGAAAUUGCCAGCUUCUGGGAAACAAUCUAAUCUCCUGGGCUAGCAAAAGACAGUCAACUAUCGCUCUAUCAACUGCAGAAGCAGAAUAUAUCUCAGCAUCACUGUGCACAACUCAGAUGCUCUGGAUGAAACAUCAGCUAGAAGAUCUUCAAAUCUUUGAGAGUAACAUUCCUAUCCUUUGUGAUAAUACUGCUGCUAUUUGUUUGAGUAAGAAUCCUAUUUUACAUUCCAGAGCCAAACACAUAGAAAUUAAACAUCAUUUUAUUAGAGACUAUGUUCAGAAAGGAAUAGUAACGCUGAAGUUCAUUGAUACAGAACAUCAAUGGGCAGAUAUCUUUACUAAGCCUCUAGCUGAAGAUAGAUUUCUUUUCAUCUUAGAAAAUCUGAACAUUAAAAAUUGUCCUGAGUAAAAUUUGGCUCUGAACAUGUAAAAUGAGACUCUGAUAAAAACAAAUACACUUCUGCCUCUGACUCUGAUACUUCUACCAAGUUAAGAAGAUAUCUGAGUUAGAAAUCUUCAGAAAUCCUUUGGUAUUCCUGAAGAUCAGAUACAUCAACACGUGGGGAACAUGCGUCUAACCCUAGAACUUCUAGACAGCUGUCAAAAGAAAUCAAAGGUCAGAACGCUUGAAAUCUCCUCGAGCAGUGUGCUUACUGUUGGGAUUAGACAUUCAUUAAUUAGCUAUAAUCAUUUUUCCCCCAAACGUGCUAUUUUGGUUUUUGUGCUAACGCUGGUAUGUGUGUCGUUUUGCAUGUGUUUUUACCCUUAGUAUAUAAACACUUUCUCUCACUUUUCACACUUAUCACUCUCACUCACUCUAAAACCCUAAACCCUUCUCUGAAAGUUCUCUGCAAGUUCUUCAUCUUCUUCAAUCUCCAUCAUCUUCAUCAACAUGGACGCUCAACAACAAGAACUCUUCAACCAUUCUCAACAAGUGGAAUCUAGUUCCAAUCCCCAAACCUCAAACACUCAAACACCCACGGUUAUAAGCGUCACCACAACCCCAGUUUACAAAGAACCUCACAUUCUUGACCGUGAACAACACAUUCAUCUUUCAACUCCCUUUGAAGGUUUGGAUGUACUGUGUGAAUCGCUGGUGGAUUUUGAGAAUUUGAGAAGAAAUGGCGUUGAUUUAACUGAAGAUCUUCGCAAGCAAGGUUGGGAAACCUACUUCAACAGAUUGUAUGGUCCAAUCUAUCCUCUUCUGGUGAAAGAAUUCUGGAGAUGUGCAGAUGCUGAUGAUGAGUUCAUUGUUUCUUUUGUUCUGGGAGUGAAGAUCAUCAUCACAGAAGCAUCUAUUGCCUCUUUGCUGAACAUGGAGAGAACUGGAGGUAAAAGGAUUUACAACAUUCCUCCAAGGUCCAAGCGCAUCACAGAAGUCAUUAACCCUACAAUCUUCAAAGCAAAUGUUGAAGGAAACCCAUCUAAGAACAAGGAGCUUCAUCAGAACCUCCGAGUUUGGCUGAAGAUUAUUCUGGGAACAAUCCAUCAUCGUCCAGCCUCCAACUCUUCAGAUUAUAUAAAUGCUGAUCAGAAAUGCAUCCUCUACUGUAUUCAGAAGGGUAUUCCAAUCAACCUCCCUGUUCUCCUCUUCAGAUAUCUGAGGGAUUCAGUCAGAGAAACAAGGAAUAAUAUGAAGCCCAGAUCCUACAUUCCUCUGGGAAGAUUGCUCUCUGACAUCUUCAUUGAGCAUGGGCUGGUAGAUGCUCUGGAGAAGACCAGAUGUAUGGAUGAUCUGGCAAUUGACGUUGGAAAGCCUCUGAAUGCCAAAAAUCUGAGGAGUAUGGGAAUCAUCAAAGACAUCAGAGUCAAGCCCACUAUGAAUGUAACCUGGGAAGCUCUGAAGGAUCAGAGGAAGAUGCCUCAUGGCCUUGAAAGGUUCUUCAAGAAUGAACCCAGAGAUGCCAUUGCUAUCUACCUUCAGGAUCGUCUGGAUGAAGGCAUUGAUAUCUCUGAUUUCCGCCUUGAAGACUGUCUGGACUCUGUAGAAGAUCUGGUCAGAUACAAAAGAGGUCUUUCUGAGAAGAAGAUAGCUGAGGAAGCAAGGAAGGCAAAGAAAGCCAGACUUGGAGAAACCUCUGGCACCAAAGCUUCAGCACCUCUGAAUGUCUCCUCUGGUAAGUCCAUUCCUCCUGUCUCUUCUGAAUCUGUAAUGGCUUCCUCUAACCCUCUCUCCUCUCAACCAAUAUAUACCACCGCUGAAAUACCACCUUCAACCAUCAGAACCUCUCAACCUCCACCUGUUCUAAAAAUUGCUCGUAAUUUCACAACAACCUCUGACCCUAAUCAACUAUAUCACCACAGCUCUUCCUCAUCCUCUGAAUAUGAAUCACCCCCUUACCUUUCCCCUUCUUCUGACCAAGAGUUCUCUGAACAAGAGUCCUCUGACCAAGAACACUCUGACCCAAACUCCCCAACAAUAGCUGAAAUUUAUGCUAAAAAUUUCGCUCCACAACCCUCAAGACAAUCUGAAGUAACCUCUCCCCUCCAAACUUCACUUCCACCACAACAAACAACAACCUUACCCUCUGAAACUCAACCAUCUGAUCCCUUCACCUCUAAUAUCACUCCACCAUUUAUUCCCGCUGUACCUGGACCAGACUCUGACCCUUUAGACCUAAAUCCACUAUAUGCUUCAUCCCCUAGUCUUCAACCAGACGCAGAUUCUGAACUUCAAGCAGAAUCUGAACCUCAACAAACUGAACCUCAACCUCUAAAUCUCAGCCCUCAAAACUCUCCACCUCAUUCACCUGAACCUGAACCUGAACUUACCAUACCUACCCUUGAGGAGGCCAUUAUACAGGUUGCAGAAGCUUCAGUCCAGAAGAUCAAGUCUCUGGCUAAAAACUCUGAAGUUAGUGAUGAUCCUAAAUCUGUUAGGACACACUGGAACAGAGUCAUUAGUUGGAUGACCUCUGAGUCUUAUAGGCUGAAGAGUAUCUCUGAACAAGUCAGAAAUGGCUACAUCAGAGACUCUGAGGAAAGACUCCAAGAGAGACUGGCUAGAGAAGCUGAGGCCAGAAGGUUAGAGGAAGAGAGACUGGCUAGAGAAGCUGAGGCCAAGAGAUUAGAGGAAGAAAGAUUGGCUAGGGAAGCUGAAGAAGAAGCUAAGAGGUUGGAAGAAGAACGCCUGGCAAAGGAAGCAGAACUUCUAAGGAUUCAGGAAGCUGAAGCCAAGGCUAAGGCAGAUGCAGAAGCCCAAGCUGCUGCUGAAGCUGAAGCUCAGCAGGCUCUGAUUCAGGGGGAGUCUUCCUCUGCGAUCCCUCUGAUUCUUAACACUCUGAAGGAGAUCAAGCAAGAUCAGAAAGAGAUCAAGCAAGAUCAGAGUGAGCUCCGGGCAAGGAUGGACAAGCAAGACGCUCUGAAUGAAAACCUCCAGAAUAUGUUUGCUAUGCUACUACAGAGACUUCCUCCUCCUCCAAACCCUUAGGCACUUAGGAUUUCUUUUGUUUGCCUAGUGUUUUUGCUUCUGUCUUUUCUUUUUUUUCUCUGAUAUUUCUGUUGAAUCUGAUGUUUUGACUGCUGCUUGCCUUUGUGCUUUUGUUUAAUGAAGUGUUUUUCUCUCUAUUAUUUUUUUUAUGUUUUAUGCCUUUUUGAUUAUGCCAAAAAGGGGGAGAAAUUAUUAAAUAGCUCUGAUGAAAAUUAUGUCUAAAACCUUAAGCAUUCUGCAACAAUUAUAGAAAUAGUUCUGAUAUAAAUAGCUCUGAUUAAAUAAUAGCUCUGAUUAAAUAACUCUAACAUUAAAAUUAAGAAAUUGCAGAAAGUUUUCAGAAAUCUCAUUGCUUGGAAAGCUCUGGUAAGAACUUCUGAACUCCCUAGUACUAACUCAGGGGGAGCUUUUGUCUAUCUGAUCUAAUAUUUUUCAUGUUUCAUCUGAUAAUUUUAUUUGUUUUGUCAUCAUCAAAAAGGGGGAGAUUGUAAGAACAAAAAUUGUUCUACAACAGAUUCCAUGAUUUUGAUGAUAACAAAGGAUGAAACCAAAAAUGGCACCCUAACGAAAAGUUUCUAAGUGUGCAGGGUUCUAAAGAAAGAAGAAAUAAAUCUGAUGAUGUCAUCAGAUGCAAAACAAGAUCAGAUGCAAAAUCUCAAGUAUCAGAAGCAUCUAAAGAGGAAUCUCGUUUCAAGAAGCUCUGACUCUGGACAAAACUACAAAGUAUCAGAAGCAUCUGAACAUGAAGUAAAGUCUAGAAGCUCUGACUCUGAACAAAUGCCUUCUGUAAAUUCUGAAGUUAUCAGCGCCAUCUGAACUUUCAAGAGAUAACAUCAGAAGCCAGUUUCUCCAGAUACACAAAGACUCUAAUCAGAAUUGUUAAUCAUGAUGAAGUAACGUUUAAGCCAAGUUAAAGUUCUGCAAAUGGAUUUCCUCAAUUAGAAAGAGACGUUAAUCUCCACUUCCAAGAGAGAAGAUACUAAUUGUGGUAAGUAGUCACUUCUAAGAGAAAAAGUCUACUGCAGAAGCUAUUAAUGGAAUGGCGUAACUACAUCUCAAUAUCCAACAGAUUCAACGCUACUUCAACUCUACUUCAACUCCUAUAAAUAGAGAAGAAAUCUCAUUCAGUAAACACGAAGAAAUCACUAGCCAAAACUAUACUGAAAUCAUAUCACGCUCAAGAAAAACAUCUUUGUUCUUCAAAGAUUUUCACUAAGCUUUUGCUUAUCAAGUGAAAAAUUUGUUCUUAAGUUUGUAAUAUUUGCUUUCUUAGAAGCACUCUAGAUUACACAUCUUGUAUCUAAUUUUUAUUUGAUUUCCUCAAGUGACUCUUUGUAGUCUGUAGACUUGAGAGGACUAAGAGAUUUUCUUCUCUCUUAGGGGUUGUUUGUAAUCUUUCAAGAUUAGUGGAUUAAGUCCUUGUUGAAGGCGAAAUCACCUUGGCCGGGUGGACUGGAGUAGCUUUGUGUUAUAAGCGAACCAGUAUAAAAUCUUUGUGUGAUUUCAUUUUGCAAAAGCGCUUAUUUUUCAAACAAUUCAAACCCCCCUUUCUUGUUUUUCUCACCUUCAAGUUUCACAAUUCUUUGAUGAACUAAAAUGCAAUUGAGGACUCCGCGUCUUUGAGUCAUAAAUCAUGGAGACUCAUAAUGCGUCCAAAAAUGCAUAUCCAAAAUUUAAGUGGCAUUUUCAAAUUUUUAUAGGAUGGUUUUCCAACACUUAUGUAGAGAUAAACAAUUUCGUAAUUAAAGGUCUCUAAGAGGAGUUGAAAUAAAUAUAUUUAAAAAAUUAGUAACAUAAUUAUUUAAGGAAUAAAGUUUUCUAACCAAAAGAAUUUUUCCCUAAUUUUUUUGUGCCUAAUUUAUUUUGCUAACAAAGUAAAGCCCUGAUUAUUGUUACUAAAUUUUAGUAAUUUUCAUUCAUCUCUCAAUUAAUAUCUCUUAUAAUCCUCAUUAACUCUCAAUUAAUGUAAUUCAUAUCUAUCAAAAAAAAUUGAAAAUUUUGUAUCUAGGCUUGGGACCAACUAGUUUAGUGAAUUGCUAAUUUCAUCUUAAGUGUUGGAAAUAUGCCCUAUAAAAUUUUGAAAAUACCCUUUUGAAUCCGAAAAUGCAUCUUCGAACGCACCUUACGCCUCACUAAAACACACCUCAACUUGUUGAUGUUUUUUAUGUAAUUCAAGUGAUGUAACCAGUUAUCUCGGGUAGGUAACCGGUUACAUAAAUGUCUAAAGUUCAAUCAAGUAGCAAAAAUGUGGAGUUUUUGAAGGUGUAACCGGUUAACCAUUUUGGUGUAAACGGUUACCACAAAAGCUGAUUUAAUUCAAUGUCAGGUGUAACCGAUUAUCCAUUUUUGUGUAACAUUACAAGCGUAAUAUUUUGAUUUUUCCUGCUAUUUUACUUGGUCAAUUCAGUUCCCAAUUGUGUUGUAUCUCUUGUAUAAGUGUUUAGAAUGCACACUCAUCUAAGGUUAAUGCAAUAAUAAUCUCUCCCCCUUAAUUCUCCUCUUUCACACUCCACAUCCAAAGUAUCUCCAUCAUUGUUCACCAAACUUGUGGUCUCUUGUUCCAAAAUUUGACAUCAAGAGUCUGGUUCAGAUCCACAAACACCUAGUGUGCAACAUGAAUUAUGUUUCCAAUGAAAGAAUUCCUGCAAACCUACCUAUCUUUGAUGCGAAGAAUUAGGAUAAACGGUGCAAGGAAAUGAAGAUGUUGUUUGGAUACCAAGAUGUUCUUAAAGUAAUCAAUAAGGAUGUUACUCCUCUUAUUCAAAAUGAAACAGAGGCGCAACAAGCAACACAUAAGGAAGAGAAGAAGAAAUAGUUCAAUGUGUUGAUGGCGAUGAUUUUAAGAAAGUUGAUGAUUGUGAAUCGUCAAAGUAAGCGUGAGAGAUCUUAGAGAAGGCAUGUGCAUGGGUUGACAAGGAAAAGGUGGUGAGGUUACAAACUCAUAAACGUCAGUUUGAAUUGAUUCAAAUGGAGGAAAAGGAGAUAAUCAAUGAUUUUGCAAUGAGAAUCACUCGGUUGGUGAAUCAAGUGAAGGCAUGCAAAGAAACUGUUACGGAGUUGUAUGUUGCUGCUAAAAUCUUGUGUUCUUUAACACCAAGAUUUAACAGUAUAGUUGUGGCAAUUGAUGAGUCAAAGGAUCCCGCGACGAUGAGCAAAGAGGAGUUGCAAAGUUCUCUUGAGGCUCAUGAGAAAAAGAUGGAAAAGAGGAAUAACGAUAAGGCAAAGGCGGAGAUUGCUUUGCAAGCUCGUUUCAAUGAGAAGGACAAGAGAUCGAAAGGAAAAUGGCCCAAGAAAAGAAAAGGGAAUUUUCAUAAUUUGGGUGGAAGAGAGUCCUAAAAUUCAAAUGAUUUGACUUGUCAAAGGGGUGAGAGCAGCUACAAUAAACAUGGUGGUCAAGGAAACUUUAGAGGUAGAAGGAAGAAGUUUGAUAAGAGCAAGGAGAUGUGCUAUAAGUGUCAAUGGUUCGUUCAUUUUGCAAAAAAAUACAAUGUGAACAAGAAAGAAUCUCAAGGGAUUAAACCAAGGUUGCAAGAUAAGAGUUUGAUGAAGAGAAUAUAAUUUUGGUCAUGAUCAAAGAAGGGAAUUAUAGCAGCAAACAACUGUGGGACAACAGCGGCAAUAAAUCAAAGAAUGCUAAAAAGGUCGGUUGAAUGAUACGAUUAACCGAUCGCAUGAAGAGGAAGAUACCAUGAUGAGUUUGAAAGGAGUUCAAUGUAGUGAUGAGUGGUAUUUGGACUUGGGUUGUUCAGCUCAUAUGACAGGAAUAAAGGAUUGGUGUGUCAAAAUCAAUCGUGCCAUGAAGAAUAAACUAAAGUUUGCAGAUGAAACCACCCUAAUGAUCGAUGGGAUCGAUGAUGUUUUGAUCAUGAGAAGGGAUAAUGGACAUUACUUAAUCACAAAUUCUUGUACAUUUUUGGAAUCAAAUUUAACCUUCUAAGUAUUGGCCAAUUGCUUGAGAAGGAUUCCAAGAUUCACAUGGAAGACAAUGGGUUGUGCGUUAUGGAUAUAAGAGGAGGCUUGGUCCUUAAAGCGCAUAUGGCUGCCAAUAGAACCUUUAAGGUUGAGUUGAAGGUUAUAGAGUAUAAAUGUCUUGCUACUACAUCAAGUAGACAACAGUGGAUAUGGCACUAUCGUCUUAGACAUCUCAAUUUUAGAGAUCUCAAAGACUUUCAAAAGAACAUAAUGGUAACAGGGCUGCCAUUGAUCAACAUACUAGCUGAAAUUUGUGAAGAAUGUGUGCAAGUGAAGCAACAUAAGGGAAAAUUGAGCAAGUAGACUCUAUUGGUGGAAAUAUGUAUUUUGUCACAUUUAUCGAUGAUCAUAGUACAAAACUAUGGACAUACCUAAUCAAGAUAGAUGACAAUGUAUUUCAUGAUCGUCCGUCAUUGCAUAUAUUUAGUCGAAGAAUCAGACAAAACAAGUGAAAGUUAAGAUAAAAUGAAGAAGAAUAAGGAAAAAAUAUCUAAGCAUGGAAACUGGGGACUUAUUGAAAUUUUGAGUAAAAAAGGGAGCAAAAGUGUGCAACCACUGGAAUAAUCAUGCGCACCAUCACGUAGCAUCGUGCACACAAUGGGGUCUUUAAAGUUGCAUCGCGCAUGCGAUACAAGGAAUCACGCGCGUGAUAAAUACUUUUUAUGGGCUUUUCAGACGCGUUCUGGUCCAUUCUAACGCCUUUAAAAGGGGAUUUUCUGAACUUUCACAAGAGUUACAAAAUUGGGAGAUCUAGGCACUACUUUGAGAGCACAAGUGGUGAUUUUUAUAACAUUAGAAGUUAUUGGAGACCAUUACUUCAACGUAUUUCACAUGUUAUUUUCAUCUAUCAAUUAUGAUAUUUUUAAUUGCAUUAUGAGUAGCUAAGCUCCUCUAGAUUAGGUUGUAUACUGAUGAACCUAUUUCUAUAUUGUUGGAAUCUAUGUUGAUUUAACAAUUGUGUGAACCUUUUGAACUAUAAUUCCAUUCAAUUGCUUCUUGUUCAUAAUGCUUUUUAUGUGAGAUGAUAUUUUAAUAUGAUUUUGGGAACAUAAGGAAUACUGACCAUUAGUCUAUGUGUUGGACCUAGGGAAAUUGUUGUACUUACGCUGGUUGAAUAGGAAUAGGAGACCCUGAGUAGUGGCGUAGAGAAUUAACGCUUUAUACAUCGCCUAACCCUGCUUACGCUGGAGGACUAAGGAUAAAAAGCUCUGAGUGGUGGUUAGUGAGUUAUUUCAUGAGGGAUCAACUAUAACAGUUUUGUUAAUUCGUCGUGGUGUUAUAGUGAUAAGACCAUUCGUACAAGACAUCAAACAUCAACAAUAGAGGAAUAUGAGAUUUUAAAACACAACUUGGCCGCUUUCGUGAUAUUGUUUAAUUGUUUAUUUACUUUUUGCACAGAAACUCAACCCCCCCCCCCCCNNNNNNNNNNNNNNNNNCCCCCCCCCCCCUUUACUAGUUUUUUAUAAAUUGCACACAUUUUGUCUUGCUUGAACGAAGUUCACGUGGAUUCGAUCUUUUUAUUACUUCGACGAUGUCAAUACACUUGUCGAGAAGUCAUCAAGUUUUUGGCGCUUUUGCCAGGGACUAUUAAUUUUUCAUCAAGGCGAUGUUUGUGCAAUUUUUUUUAGUCUUUAAAUUUUAUGUUUUAUUUUCUUGUUUCUCAAAAUGCUAUUGAGGUAUUUUCUAUUUGUGUAUGUACCGUUCAGGAUCAACAUUAAUACCAUUGGAUCCAAAAAUUGAAAGAAACGCACAUGCUCUCAGAAAAGCUGUUAGAGGAGCAACUCUGGAAAGAGGAAUACUAGAAGAAGAGUAAUUAUCAAGUUAGUCAUACUCUGAAGAUGAAGCUGUAAUGGCAGAUGCACAACCCCUAACUAUGGGGGAUUAUUAUAAAUGAACCGAUGAAGGACACUUCUCCAGAGGGUUUGUACCGGUAGACCCUUCUAACUUUGAUAUUAAAAAUUAUGUGCUUUAAGGUUUGAGAGAAAAUUUGUUCGGCAGGAACACGAUUAGAGACCUAUGGGUGCAUCUUACACACUUCUAUGAAACAACUUCAAUGUGAAAAUCAAUUGAUGCCACUGAAGACCAGGUUAAAUUGAGGUUGUUUGGGUUCUCACUAAUUGGAAGGGCGAAGAUUGGUUACUUUUCCUCCCGAAUGGAACGAUACGAACAUGAAAGGAAUUAGAGGAUAAAUCCCUGGAAAGAUUUUUCACUACUACUCAGUUUACCGAGCGCUAAGCAGAAAUUGUGAGGUUUGAGCAGUAGGAAAUUGAGUCACUUUAUGACUCUUGGGAAAGAUUCAAACUUUUGUUACGCAGAUGCUCGAAUCACAACAUGAAUAAUAUAGAGCAGAUGCAAAACUUCAUUAAAGGUCUCAAAGUCAAACUCACGUAUUUUUGGAUGCUUCUACGAGAGGUACUAUCUGAAAAAUGAAUGAACCAUGGGUAAAAGAUAUCAUUGAGAAAAUGUGUAUAAUUGAGUACCGAUCCAAGAACGAAAGGUCGAUCAAGAUGGGAACUGUGGGCACGCCUAAAGGUAUGUUACCUAUUGAUACCCACAUUGCUCUUUUAGCUCAGAUUGAAUUAUUAAAUAAAAAGCAAGCUGGAAGAAGCUUAGUUAAAGCUAACGUAAGUCAGGUACAAGCACUUAAAAGCGAUUUAUAUGGAGGAUAACAUGCGAAUGGAAGUUGUUCAUUGGAAGGGACAAGUGAGGAGGUAAAAUUUUAUAAUUUUUAAAAAAAAUAACUUGUAUUCAAACACAUAUAAUCCGGGUUAAAAAGACCACCCAAAAUUCCUUUGGAAUAAUAAUCAAAAUUCAAAUGCUAACUAAGGGAUGCAACAAAGCCAACAAGCUCUGUUUCAAAGAAAUCCAUCACAAAUGGUAGAGACCUUGAAAAUUUUCAUUAAGGUCACUCAAAGUAGCUUUGCUAGGGUAAAUAAGACCCUUGAAGAAAUGAGUAGAAACUAGGAUGCGUCUAUCAAAAUUUUGGAGAUGAAGAUUGGUCAAUUAUCCAGACAAGUAGCUACUUUUCCAAGCUCAAGUGGAGGAUUCACCAGUAACAUUGUUGAUAACCCUAAGAAUGAUAACCCUAAAUAUAGGUUUAGGGGAAAUUACUGAAAAGGAUAAGGAGGAGAUAGUUAAAGAACGUGUGGUUAAGAUAGAUGAGGGUACAAAUCAAGGUGACCAAGAGGAAAGAGGAGACAUCAUUGAUCAACUUAUUGACAAAAAUUCUCCUCGGGGGAGAACAAAGAAGCAGAUCAUGACUGAACCAAAUCCUCCUUUACCAGAUCACGUAAAACCACCGUACCCAAUAAUUAAAAAGAAAGUGGUUUAAGAUGAUGAAGCGAGAAUGUUUGCAAAGUUCAAGGAAAUUCUAGCUACUCUCCGGGAAAGUAUUUCGUUCCAUGAAAUUUUAGAACUAAUGCCUAAGUUUGCUAAAUUUAUGAAGGCGUUACUAAAUGGGACGGAAGAGAAAAGGAUCAAGGAACAUGUAAACAUGACCGAAAAGAAUGAUAUGGUAAAACCUCAAUCCUUACAACCUAAACUAAAAGACUCAAGUAAAUUUAUGAAGGAGUUAUUAAAUGGGACGAAAGAGAAAAGGAUCAAGGAACAUGUAAACAUGACCGAAAAUGAUGAUAUAGUAAAACCUCAAUCCCUACAACCUAAACUAAAAGAAUUAGGUAAGUUUACUAUUUCCUAUAAUAUUAGUGGAUUCAAUAUUCUGCAUGCUCUAUGUGAUAUGGGAUCUAACAUAAAUGUCAUGCCACCGAAAACUGUCAAAGAAUUAAAAGUGGGUGAGAUCACACCGAGUAACAUGACUCUCAGUCUAGUUGAAUUGUCUAUUACUCAUUCAAUUGGUACUUUACGCGACAUAUUAGUACCUAUCGACGACUUAUUGUUUCCUAUAGAUUUUAUAGUGCAUGAUACAAAAGAAGAUUCGGGAGGAUCUAUUAUUCUUGGACAUCCAUUCUUGGCAAUCGGGAAAGCAAAAGAUUGAUGUGUAAACUGGUCAACUUAUCUUGAAGUCAAAUAAAAGGAAUGUGGUUUUCAAGGUAUAUGACUGGACACCUUAUGUGGAUAAUUUGGAUACUUUCUACUAUCUGGAUGAAAAAGGUAGGAAAGUAGAUAAAGGAACAAUGAGAAAGAAAGUGACAGGCGUGAGGGUGUCCCUUGCGCCUGACGUACCUUAGACAUGGAUUAUCAAGCUAGUGAUGUUAAAAAAGUGUUUGAUGGGAGGCAACUCAUCAAUAAGAAUUUAUUUUUUUAUCAUAGUGAAUAUUAAUUUUUCUAACCUUGUUAAUUUUUGUGCUAUGUUAUUGGAAGAGAAAAUAGGUGAAAGAAGAAAAGAAAGAAAAAGCAAAAGGGAAGAAAAUAGAAAAAGAAAAGAGAGAGGAAAGUUUCAUCCCCCAGAAUCAUCACGUAUGAUAAUAUAAACUAGUUCUUUACAAUAAUAAAAUUUGAUAUUUAUUUAUACAAACACAAUUAUAUAAAGAGAAUAACACACAAAUCACACAUGAUAAUUUUAGAAUAAUUAUACUCUAAUAUUUUUUGAGUCGUGAUAUAUCCUCUUCUUAAAUAUUUGAAAGUUGAAUCUCUCUCACUAAUCUCUAUUCCCCUAUUUAUUUUAAGAAUAAACAUAUUGAAUUAAUAAAACAUAAUUGCACCUUUCUUAAAGGUUAUACAAACAACUACUAAAGUUGAAAAAACUAAAGAGAGGUCAACUCAAUCUUUAUCAAAUUAAAUUAAAGUUUAUUAUAAAACACAAACAACUAGUUCAUUCAAAUGAUAACUUGUUUAGUACACAAGUAAGAUCUUACUUAAUACAUAGAAAUAAGAUCUUACAGAAUAUAGAGAUUAAAAACAUAGGAAUAACAUGAAAAGCUUUUAAAAUGACAUAGACAUUGAUUAACAAAGAUAUGAACUAGUUUCGGGUAUUUCUUAACCAUCCGUCAAGGUAAACUUGUUUGGAGUCAGGGGUGGAUUUUGCUUUCUCGACUCGGAUAUCUUUCAACCAUCCAUCAAGGUAAACCUGGUUGUUGUCAGAGGUGGAUUUUACUGUCUCGGCUCGGAUAUCUUUCAACCAUCCAUCAAGGUAAACUUGUUUUGGAUCAGAGGUGGAUUUUGUUUUCUCUGCUCGGGUAUCUUUCAACCACCCAUCAAGGUAUACUUGGUUGGAGUCAGGGGUAGAUUUUAUUCUCUCGUUUCGAUAAUCUUUCAACCAUCCAUCAAGGUAAACUUGGUUGGAGUCAGACAUGGUUUCUGUUUGCUUUGCUCGAGUAUUUUUCAACCAUCCAUCAAGGUAAACUUGGUUGGAGUCAGAGGUAGAUUUUUCUUUCUCAGCUCGGGUAUCUUUUAACCAUCCAUCAAGGUAAACUUGUUUGGAGUCAAGAUUUUUCUUUCUCAGCUCGGGUAUCUUUUAACCAUCCAUCAAGGUAAACUUGUUUGGAGUCAGAGGUGGAUUUUGUUUUCUCUGCUCGGGUAUCUUUCAACCAUCCAUCAAGGUAAACUUGAUUGGUGUUAGGCAUGGACUUUUCUUUCUCAACUCUGAUAUUUUUCAACCAUCCAUCAAGAUAAACUUGGUUGGAGUCACUUGUAGAUUUUGUUUUCUCAACUCGGGUAUCUUUCAACCAUUCAUCAAGGUAAACUUGGUUGGAUUCAGAGGUGGAUUUUGCAUUCUCUGCUCUGGUAUCUUUCAACCAUCCAUCAAGGUAAACUUGGUUGGAGUUAGGUGUUGACUUUUCUUUCUCAACUCUGCUAUCUUUCAACCAUCCAUCAAGAUAAACUUGGUUGGUGUCACCUGUAGAUUUUGCUUUCUCAGCUCGAUUAUCUUUCAACCAUCCAUCAAGGUAAACUUGGUUGGAUUCAGAGGUGUCUUUUGCUUUCUUUGCUCUGGAAUCUUUCAACCAUCCAUCAAGAUAAACUUGAUCGGAGUUCUGGGAGGAUUUGGUUUUCUCUGAUCGUGUAUCUUUCAACCAUCCAUCAAGAUAAACUUGGUUAGAGUUAGCAAUGUGUUUUCGACUCUUCAAUGGAUUUUUGAGCCAACCAUCAAGGUAAGGUUGAUCAGCUUGUAUUUCUUGUACAUUCUCUUGCUGAAGUUUGAUAUAUCGGGCAAAGCUUCCUUGUCCAUUCUAUAAUACAAUUGAAUAAAUGGAUAUUAGUGAGUUAUUUUUGGAUGGUAUAUAUGAUUACAAAAACAAAAUUAUGUGUUUUAUGAGACACAUUAUGUUACAUAAAUAAGACACAUUCAUUGUAUAUUUCAGAUGGAUAUAGAAUGCGAAAUAAAAAUCAAAGAAAAACAAUUUUUUAAAUUUCAUUGCCGCAUAGAAAAUAUUAUUUUGUCAAAUUAAAUAGAACAACUUGAUUAAGUGAAUGAUGAAAUCAAAUCAAAUAAAGAUGCAAAAUGAUAGAUUGUGAUAAAUAAAUGAUGAAAAAUAUAUGUGUAAAAGAUACAAGAAUGGAUGCAUAACUUACAAUCAAUAAGAGCAUGAUAAAAGGGAGGAGAGACAAAACAUCUUUGUUUGUCAUUUCUUUAAUGUUAUGAUUUUGUGGGAAAAUUGUUUUAAUGUAAAAAGAUGUAUUGAAAUGGAAGUGAAUUGUGCUAUUUAUAAGUGAAUGAAAAGAAAAACUACAUUAAGGACAUUGAGACUUUGGUUGGCAAGAUUAUUUUUUUAAAUAUUUAGUUUAAAUUAUUUUUUAAAUGUUUAGUUUAAUUGAUAAGUUUAUAUGUCUAAGAAAGAUCAAUUUACUAAGAUUUAUUAUUUACAAGAUCUAUUAGGUGUGUUGUUUUGAGUUAUAAAAAAUAUUAAAAAAAUUGUUUGUUUGAUAUAUUUUUUUAAUUAGAAGCUCCUAACUAAAUCCUCUUAGUUUAAAAUAAAUAAAUUUUAGAACUGCUACUGCAAUUAUUUUUAUUUUAAAAUUAAAAAUGAUUUUCUAAAAAUCCUUAAUAAAAACAUAUUAAAAUGACAAAGGUGAUUUUGUUAAAUGUUAAACAAACAUUUAUUUUGAUAAGUUAUUUCAAAUAACUUAAAAUUUCAUAAAUUUAUUUUAAUUUAUAAUUAAAGUGGUAAUUAUGAUAAUCUCGCCUCUUGAGUUCUAAUAUUUGAGCUAAUAGUAUAAAUAUGUUUUAGUUGAAUUAGAAUUUGCAUUAGUGAUAGUUUCAAUUUUACAAUUAAUUAGACUAAAAUAUUGAUGUUCGUCAUAUAUAUAUAUAUAUAUAUNUAUAUAUAUAUAUAUAUAUUAAAUAGUAAUUAUAUAUUAUAAAUUUUAAUUUUGGGAAAAAAAUAUUAUUUCAAUAUUUUAAAAUUUUAAUAAUUAUUGUUUUAUAAAAUUAAUUAUAAUGAGUAUAAUAUUUUAAUUUUAUUAUCAUCAAAUAUACCCUACAUCAAAAUUCACAAACUUUAAAUAUAAAUAUCGGGAUCCACUUAAUUGAAUUGGAAUUUAAACAUCAAAAUUUAGACAAAUGUUAAAUUUUGAAGCACUUGGUUUUUGAAUCAUGACUCUUCUACAACCAACUCCUAGGGACUUACUACAUAGCCAACAAUGAAUCCAAAAUAGUUUCACAAGAAACACUAAAAUACUGUGUUGGCCUUUGCAUGUUUAAGAUGUUCACAUGUAGCUGGGGUUUGCGUGCUUAUGAGCUUACCUAAUAGUAAGUUAAAAAAACAAUAUAUUAUUAUACUGACCAGUCUAAAGAGAAAUAGAUAAGUUACUGUAUUUGUUAUUAUAAUCAAAUAUUAUCUAAAAAAGAAAUAAAUUAUAAGGAAUAUGUUUUCAUUAUUUUUAUCUUUAUUUAAAGAAUAUAAAUAUUUUUUAAUUAAUGAUAAAUAAUUGAUUUUAAAUGUGAUUACGGUUUAUAUCUUUAUCUAAGAAAAUAAAUGAUAAAAUGUGAAUACUCAUAUCUAAAAUUAAAUAUUUAUCCAAUUAUGUAGGCCAGCCUCAUAUUUAUUGUAAAAAUUUUAACAAAGUUUAAAAUAAUGAAAAUUAGAAUAAUGGUAUUCCUACAUUAAAUCUUACAUCAAAUACUUACAUUAAAUAUUUUUUACCGUAUUUAAACGAUGAAUAAUAUUUUUAUUUUUAAUAAAAAAAUAUUUAUAUAAAAAUGUUUUUAUUUUUAAAAUUAUUUUUAUAAUAAAAAUAUAAAAUUUAUCACAAAAUAAUUUUAUUAUCGUAUUAACUAUAAAAAUAUAGGUUAUAAAUCACAUAUUUCACUUAUAAUUCAUUAACCAGUAAAAUACAUAAUAUUAAUCAAAUUAUGAUAUUAAAAUAUGAAAUAUAUAAUUUGCUUAAUUAUUAUAUUUUAUAUUUUAAUGUCACAAUUUAUUUAUAUUAUUUAUUUUAUUAAUUGAAUAUAAUAAUAAGUAAAAUAUAUGGUUAAUCAUCUAUAUUUUUAUGAUUAAUACAAUAAUAAAAUUGAUUAGUGACAAAUUUUAUAUUUAUAUUACAAAAAUAAUUAUAAAAAUAUAUCAAAAACGAGUUUAAGACAACGUAGGAAAAAGUGAAGUGACACUCAAAUAUUAUUUGCUCAUUAAGCAAUCAGUUAAAAUUAAAGUGAAUUAACGAAUUAAGCAUAAAGUUUCACACAAUCAAAAUUAGGGAACAAUAAAUCAAUCGAACAAAACAAAACUACUAAGUUUUGAGUGUAAAAUUUGGUGUAAUAUUAAAAAUUAAAAAAAAAUUGAGGUUUAUAAGAUGUAAAAUUAUUUAUUAAACUCUUUUAAUAAAUUUAAUAUUAUGAUAAUUUAUUAUGAUAAAUAAUAUUUAAAAUAAGAAAAGAUUGAGCUUUUAAAGGAUGAAAUUCUAGUCAUUAGAUUAAAGAAAACAUCACCAAAACCUUAUUUCACAGAUGAAAUCGACUACAUAUAUGAUAUAUCAAUUUUCACGCUAAUAUUCUAUCAAUCACCAUAUUUUAUAGCCAUUAGACUAUUUAAUCAAAAUUAUUCAUAAUAAAUUUCAUUUGAUAUUUACUUUUUAAUAGAUAAUAAAGUAGAUAUAUUUAAUCUUUAUUAAAAAAUUAUUAAACAUUAUUGGUAUUAAAUAUGAUUUUAUUAAUUUUAAUUUUGAUAUAAUUAAUGGAUAUAAGUAUUGGCUCAAGAUAUAUCAAAGCCUUUGCCAAAUUUUUAACAAAGAUUUUAAUAAUAAAAAUUAUGAGUGUAAUAUUUAAAAUAAAAAAUUGAGCUUUUUAAAAUGUAAAAUUAUUGAUUGAAUUAUCAUAAAUCAGUUAAGUGUGUAUUUAUGCAAGAUGGGACAUCCCAUUUGCAGGGGCACAAAUUCAACCCACAACAUCUCACUUUUUAUCUUGGAAAAUUCCAAUCAAUAAAUUACUUGAUCCAAAAAAAUCAUAGUAAAUCUUGUUUGAUAUUUAUUUUCAAUCAAAUAUAUGUAAUCCUUAAUGAAACCUUAAACAUUAUUGAUUUUAAAUAAGAUUUUAUUAACUUUAAUUUUAUACCAUUAAUAGAAGGACUAUAUUCUGGAACGAAUUAAUAUAUUUUCGUUAUUCUUAUUUUUAUUUAAAUAUUUAAAUAUUAUUUAAAUUAAUAAUAAAUAAUUGGUUUUAAAUGUGAUGAAGUUUAUAUCUUUAUCCGAAAAAAUAAACGAUAGUGAAUAUUUAUAUUAAAAAAUAACACAAUACACUUAAAUAUUUAAUCUCCUUAACCUAUCUAAAUAUCUAGGCCGGCAUAAGACAUAUUGAAGUUUAGUGUAAAAAAUUUAACAAAGCUUUUAAUUAUAAAAAUUAUGACUGUAACAUUUAAAAUAAAAAAAAUUGAACUUUAUUAUUAGAUGUCAAAAUAUUUAUUAAACACUCUUAAUAAGUAUUAAAUAUAAAUUUAUUAAAUUUAUUUUUGAUACAAUUAAUGAAUAUAAGUACGGGCUCAAGAGAUAUACACGCCUUUGAUAAAAAAUUUAACAAAGAUUUUAAUUAUAAAAAUUAUGAAUAUAACAUUUAAAAUAAAAAAGUUGAUCUUAAAAGAUGUAAAAUUCUUUAUAAAAUUAUUAUAAUAGUUUUUGAUUAAUUAAUAUGCACAGUCAAUAUCAUUUUUUUAUUAUUAUUAUUAUUAUUAUUAUUAUUAUUAUUAUUAUUAUUAUUAUUAUUAUGCGUCGGUGUACAACUCAUAAAAAAAGACGUCAAUCAUAAAUAUAUAUUGGUACAGUGUCGUCAAUUGGAUUGACGCAUCCUCGUAGGUGUUAUAUGCAGGGAUGAAGCUAGAGAUUUUGAACUGUAGGAGCAAUAUAUUAAUAUAUAAAUUUAUUUCUAUUUAUUUUUAAAUCAUAAAUAUAUAUUUAAUUUAUUUUUAAAUCAUAAAUAUAUAUUAUAUCUAUUUUUUAAGAAAUCUAUCUCUAAAACAAUUUUUAUUAAUUUUUUAAAAUUUUAAAAUUUUAAAAUUUUGUAAAUUUUAAAAUUUUAUUAUCAAGAAAAAUAUUUUUUUAUGUAUUUUUUAUGAGAUCAUAAUAUUAACAUAAAAUUCUAUAAAUCAAUUUUUUUAAAGAUCGAGGAAAAAAUUAUUUUAAAAUUAUAACAAGAAAAACAAUUCAAUAUAUUUCAUCUGACAUGUUUUAAUUUAAUUAUUGAAAAUAAAAAAUUCACUAUAUUUUUGGACAAUAUCCUAAAUAAAUAUUCAUAUACUUUAUUAUUUUCAUCUAAUUUUUAGUAAUAUCUUCAUAAUAAUAAUAUUAUUUAUAUAAAUUUAAAAUAAUAUAAAUUUAUAUAUAUAUAUAUAUAUAUAUAUUUAUAUAUAUUAUAUAUAUAUUAAUAUAUAUUAUAUAUUAUAUAUAUAUAUAUAUAUAUAUAUAUAAUAUAUAUAUAUAUAUAUAUAUAUAUAUAUUAUAUAUAUUAUUUAUAGUAGGGACCAUUUGUCUUAUGCUAUUUUAAUUUGUUAUUUCUUAAUUUCCCCGUCUAUUUCAGUGUUUGGAUUAAAAAAAGGGGGGGGUCGGGGGUUCCCUCUUGGGGGUGGGUUUAGUAUUUUAAUGUUUUUUUACUUAAUAUUUCUUUUGUGUUUUUCACAUUCUUCUAUGUCUUAGAUUGACGUCUUCUUUAUUUUGAAAGUGGGUUACUCUCAGAAAUAAUUGAAAAAGUAAAUUAUUUUAGAUAUCUAUUUGAAAAGUUAGAAAAUCUUAAAUAUUAUUCAUUUUAAAUAAUAUUUUAUUAAUAUAAUUUUUAAUACCAUUAAUAGAAGGACUAUAUUCUGGUAUCAACCGAAAGGAUUAUAUUAUUGGACUAUUUUAAAUUUCCUAUUAUAUUGUUGUCGUCUAUUAUCAAUUUAUUUUAUCAAUAAAUCACUAUUUGAAAUUUUAUUAGUAUUUAAGUCUUUAAAUUCAUCUACACCUUUGACUUCUACUAUUAAUUUUCAUUUUCAUUUUUUUAAUGUUUAUAUAACUGGUACAUUGUUAACUUGUUUAUUUAAUAAACAUUAAGCAAUAUUUUUAAAUUAACUUUUUAAUUUAUUUUUAUAAAUUUAUCUAAAGUUCCCUUUUAUAAUUUAAUUAAAAUUUCAACUCUCUUUUUUUAAUUUCUAAUUUUUUUUAUUCAAAUUUUUUUAAUUGACAUUACUCUAAAUAACAUAAUAAAACAAUUUCCACAAUAAACACAAACAAAAAAAAAAUUCAAAAAUAAGAUAAUUGAUUAAAUAUAAAUGAUUUAAAUUAAAAGUAAAUAAAAUAAAAUUGCAUAAAUAAAAUAUAAUUUUAUCCUUUUACAAUGCUAGAGAGGACAUACACUUUAUCAUAGAAGUAACGAUUAAUUAAUGGAGAUGAUGAAUUAACAUAUUUUAUACUCUCAUAUACACAUUUUAGGUUGGAAAUGAUUUGAUAUAAUCCUUUAUCUAACCUGUUUAAAUUUUAAUGGGUUGAAUUUGUCGUUCAACCCACAAUUUCAUUGUCAAAAUUGACAGAAACCGACUUGUUUAUUUAAGGGUUGUGUUCGCGAUGUUUUAAAUAAAAAUUAUUUUUUUAUAUAUUUUUUAAGAUAUAAAAAAUUUAACCCAAUUCAAAUUAGAUGAAACACAUCAUAUAAUGUCUAAUAAAGUUCAUCAACACGACAUAACACUCGAUAAUAGUAUUAAAUUCUAAUAGUAUCAAUGUUAAAUUAUUUUAAAACAAUUAUUUUAAUUAACUCUUUAAUCAUAACAUUUAUUUAUUAUAUUUUUAUAAUACAUUAUAAUAAAUAUAUUAUAAAUAUUCUUAUUUUUAAUUAGAAAUAUAUAAUGAUAAGUUAAUUAAAUAAUUAUGGUUUGUGAAAAACAAAAACAAAAUCAACGUCAAAGUUAUAUGCUUCAACAAUUUAUAUAAUGACUCAUUUUUAAAUAAAAUAGCUUUAAAAAUUAAAAGUUUGAAAAAUAAUAGUUGAUAUAUUAUAUAUUUUAUUUAUUUUUAUGUUGACAAUAUAAAACAUAGACAUUAAUUUUAUUCUUUAACCAUAAUUUUUAUAAUAUAUUAAAAUAAAAAGUAGUUAAAAUUAACUAAUAAAAUUAAUUAUAAAUAGUUUAAAUAAUUUAAUUAUUAUCAAAUAAAAAUAUAUAAAAUAUUUAUUUAGUAAAGAAUAUUAAAACGAAUAACAAAUUAUAUGAGAUGAUAUGACUUUUUUAUAAUCUUUUGUUUUCUUAAGUUAAAUUAUUUAGUAGAUAAAAAAAAAAAUUAAAAUUGAUAUAUUUCUCUCUCUUCUUUAAAUGAUAUUUUUUUUUCUAUUUCUUACCUUUUAAUAGUUGGAUUAAUCAAAUGGUUUAAAAUUGCACAUGAGAGAGGGCAUAAGAGAAAAAAUUGGAGAGGAUCCAAUUCCGAUAAAAAGAUGUGGUAAAUUUAUGAGUAGUUUAAUAAUUUAUACAUAUUUUUAGCCUUAUUAAUUGUCACUUCGUUGAAAAAGAAAAAGGAAAUAAUAAUAAUGAUAGUGAUAAUAAUUAAAUAAUAUUGAAUUUUUUGACAAAUAAUGUUAUUAAAUAUUAUUGAAUAUAAUAGAUGAAAGAGAAAAAAAAAUGAAGAUCUUUGUCUGGCUUACCUCCUCGUUGAAUAGGGUAUGCUAACUAUUAAUAUGCCAAAGCCUCUUUAAAAAAUUAAACAAAUCAAUUAUAGGAUCCGAUAACUAUUAAGGAAUUUCUUAUGUCAUCAUAUGAAAUGGAAAAACUAUACAAAAUUUAAAAUAUUCAUUCAAGUUUAAAGAUGCAUCUUCGAAUACACAUUUGUAUCACCUUAUGACGCACUAAAUGAGCGACACCCUAAAGUAAAAUAAAAUCUUAUUCCAAAGAUACAUCUCUGAGUAUUUUGAACAAAUAUAUUGAUAUUUAAGCAAGCGUCCUCAGCAUGACCAGAUACCUGUAUCAUACACUCAGUUGCUGUCGUAUCUUGUCCAGUAAGGGGCAAUUGCGCCAAAAGAGAUUCCGCAUGCAACUCCUCCCUAAAAUCACAAGCAUAAUCCUAAUGUGCCUUGUUCAUUUCAUGUCGGAUACAUAGGGCAUUCUAUAGAGGAUUAUUUGGUCCUCAAGGCCAUAAUGCAAGAGUUAAUUGACCAUAAGGUUUUGUCAUUCUUUGACGCAUGACCCAAUGUCAUAAACAACCCGUUGCCAGACCACUGUGGACAAAUAGUGAAUGCAGUUAGUGGCGAAGAUUGCUCAGAUUCAGUUGCUUCUUCAGAGGAGUAUCGAUGCUAGCAAUAUCAUAUUGAUUCAAUCAUGUAUCAUUUGUAAUCCUUUCUUGUUUUUUAAAUGUUGUUCAUUUGUAACUUGUCUGGUUUUUCAGAUGAUAAUAAUAAUGAAAUAAACGUGCAUGUUUUGCUUAAAUCCAUUCGUGUCCACUCAUAUUUUAUUUUAUCAGUAUCAAACUGUUUGUCGAACAAAAUCAAAAGAGAAUGAUGCAAUUAAAAAUACGCAAGAUCGCUGCCUGUAUGGUUUUGAAUAAGAUCGUGCUGAUGAUGUAAGGCAUUGUUCAAUCCCUAAACACCGGAGAUAUAAGGAAGAUAAUCCCUAGUCAACCCCUUUGGGUAUUGUAAUAGGAGUUUCUUUCUUGAACACAUAAAACCCUCAUGCUUAACCAGGGGCAGAGUAUUCUUCAGUUAGUUUAGACUUGCAUUCAAAUUUAAGAAGGACAAUAUCUCAUCCAGUGAUCAAUCAUAUCAUAUCCCUCUCAAGAGGAUGGAAUCAUAAAUCCAGGAUGGUUAUCCCUUACCCAUCAAAAAGAGUGAGAUAAUCACGACUCGUGCAACAAAUCGAGAAAGCUGUGUCACAAGGUUUUCUCUAGUACAAAAAUAAAAGAUGAAACAAAAUUAAAAGCCCGCUAAGUCAAAAGCUUGAAAACAAGAUUGACUUAGGCAAAAGUCAGGGUAUCCCGGUGGGAUGCAGACCCAAAGGAUCAGCCUAGGAAAAAAUAAGGGUAAACAAAACAAAAGAAUUAGAGGAUCAAUACCAAAAUUCGUAGCGAGAGCAAAUCCCUGUGACUAUAAACAAAAGCAGAAGGCGAGUGGCUAUCGCUCUAAAUUCUCGUGGAUUCCUUAAACCAUCAUUGUUGAUAUUCAAAAUCCUUUCUGAAAGACGAACGCUUAUUUUAAGCUAAUUGAAUAUAGAACUAGAUAACAUCACACAGAAUGGGUGGGUUAGAAUAGGUUUUGAGCCUUAUAUCCUUUCUUUCUGAAACCGUGAACUAGGCCAAGUUACAACCCUCAAAAGACCUAAUUGAAGUAGGGUUUAUUUCAAAAGCAUACUAUGGUAAGAUCGCGUUAAGCUGACUCCUUAAGAUUUUCUUGUCAUAUGUUUGAUACUGAUAUGGCAUUCUAAACAGUGAUUUGUUCACUAGAUGUCAUAAUCUUAGUGAACACACUUGAGUUUUCAAAACUUGCAUGAGCAUGACAUUACAAUUAUCAUUUUAAAAAUGAGCGUUUUACAUGCGAACAUGCAUUUGACACCAAGGAAGCUUACAAUGGGAAAGUUGAUCAAAUUCCUAAUAUCCCAUAGCUCAAAUCUCUUCAAGAGCCCGUCAAUCUAAGGCACCAUGCCAAGAUUUUGCAAAUCUCUCUGAAUCAGCUGUAUAAGGGAAAAGUUUAAUUCGAAGUUCAUAUUGGGGAAGGCCACCUCAAGAGCAUGAGAAGUCAAUCACUCCUAAGAUAAUUAACUAGGAGGAUAUAGUUUCAAGAUGCUGGGGCAAGCCAGUUUGAGAUACUCAGAUGACGAGAUCACUCUAAUUUGUAAUUGGAGAAAUUGGUGCAGAUAUCCAAUACAUUGGGGCAGAGGCAGGCUACGCAGGUACAAGCUCUCUCCAUGUUCUAGACAUAAUCCAGAGGUGUGACAACAAUUUUUCAGCUUGAAGUAGGUUCGAAGAAUCACGUCUGGAGGAUACCAUAUCCUAGCCAAAAAUUUCCACCUCCCUCUAUAUGAGCACCUGGAUUAACCAUUGCAUAAAUCAUUAUCAUGAAUAAAUCACGUCGCUUCACUCAUGCAUACCAUUCAUCUAUCAUAGCAUGAAGCCGUGUGUGAGAAUCAAAGGAAUUAAAGCCCAGUAUUUUAUUGGCAUCUCCAAAUUCCAAACUUGCCUGGUACCUUUUUAAACCAUCUAGUUUGACAAUUCUUCCAAAAUCCAAUUUGCUUGGCGUCUUUUAAGCCCAGUUUGCUUGGUAUCUUUUUUCGACCUUUAGGGUCGAUGAUCCUCUUUUCCAACAUUCAUGGUUGAGGAACCUUUUUUCAAUCUUCAGGAUUGAUAACCUUUUUCCAAUCUUUAGGGUUGACGAUCUUUGUUUCUAACCUUCAUGGUUGUUGAAUCUUUUUCCCACCAUUAGGGUGAUGAUAGACUUUGUUUCCGGCCUUUAAGGUUGAUGAUCCUCUUGCUUUCAACCUUUGCGGUUGUUGAAUCUUCUUCCAACCAUCAUGGUUGUUGAAUCUUUUUCCUACCUUUGUGGUUGUUGAAAAUUUUUCCAAACCUUCUUGGUUGAUGAACUUUUUCAAUCUAUGUGAUUGACAAACUUUUUUCCAAACUGUAAGGUUGAUGACCUUUCUUUUUUUCAAACCUCUGUGUUUGACUUUGUUUCCAGUUUUUGAACUGAUGAUUCAUUUGUGAAACCCCUUGUUUGCAAGAAUAUUUUGGAACUUUCAUGCGCUCUUUGAUUAGCAUACAUGGCCACAUGUUUCAAAAAUGAUAAAAAAAAAUACAAUUUAGCAUGCAUAUCAUGAUCGUCAUUUGCCAUUAAUAUCCCCACAGUACAUCAAAAUCACCAGCAAAUAAACCCGUAAAAAAUCAAGUUGAUAUCCCUAUAUCUCAUACAAUUGUCCUUCAAGGAAAAAAAUUCGGAUACUUCGAUAUUUAAUCCACGCAUACCUUAAAAAGCUGAAAAGCUCUCGCAAUUCGACCAUUCAGGUCUAAGCUGAUUAAAUAGGGGCAGAUGUCGUAUCCUAAAUUUGUCCUCCCUAUUUCAUCUUUCCACUCAAUUUAUCAACUUGAGAUUCAUCUGUACCACAUUCAUAUUUCAUUCAUAUGCAUCAUUCAUUAAUCAUACAUUCAAAGCUUGUGGCCUGCAAAUCUAAGGUUUGUUGAUGGGACAUGGCUCUUCAUAGGCUCAUCAUGUGAGGGGAAACCCUAAUUUCAUACUCUUUUAGACUUUGAUUCAAAAAGGUUACAAUCACGACAUUCAUUUAGUCAUUCAAACCCUUAUUCCUGACUUUGUUGUCUUUCGGUCUCACAAGCUUUCACCUGUGUAUCAUGAAGCCCUAAUCAGGGAAGAUUUGGUCCGGUUGCACCUUAUGGCUUGACUUUUCAUCUUGUGUGUGCUGGAAACCCUAAUUCAUUAGGGAGAGGUGUUUGACUAUCCUAUUAUGCAUGCCUACUGGUUUGGAAUUGCACAUGAUUCAGGUCUUGUUUCAAGCAUCCCUAUGCCCAUCACAUUUAACUUUGCAUAGGCCAUUAACUCAAGUCUUUUGGUAUGGGCAAAUGCAUAGACCCAUAUGCCCGAUUCACUUCAUUCAUAUGAUGCAGAUGAUCAAGGAUGAUUGGUCCAUUUAAGAUUUGGUUCCAUUGGUUCAUUCUUUGUUUCUUAAGCAAAAUCAUUAUUUCAUUUGAAUUAUGUCAUGUGAAAACCCUAAUUCAAAUUUCACAGUUGACUUCGAUUAACUAGUUUACCAAAGUCAACCAUCCCUUUUUGAGUCCAUUAAACUUUUUCAUUAAUCAUUCACACUUAAUCACAUUUUUCGAGCUAUUUGAUGCAUCCAAUUCAUUCAAUUUUCAAAUGUAAUUUUGACCAUUCCAAACAUUUUAACCAUUCAAGGUUAACAAUUUAAGUUCUAUAAACCAUCUUCUUUUACAAUAUAUUUCCACUCAUAAACUUUCCAUAAGCAUUCAAAAUUUUCCAUCAUAAAUAUCAUUCAAUACAAUAAACUUGUCCAUGGUUCGCGCAUUUAAUCCUUUCUUUCCAUCAUUUAUUUGCAUUGCAAUUCUAUUCAUCCAAAGUAUCAAACUUUUCAUAAUCACCAAGUUCCAUUCCAAUACAUUCAAGUUUUACCUACAACUUUCCUUUACAAUUAUUACAAACCAUUGUUUUACAUUGUUACACUAUGUAUCAACCAUAUCCUACAUAACCAUAUUAACCAUUCCAAAUGAUCAAGCAAGAUAGAAUUUCAUUCACUAACCAUACAAGAUAUCUCAAGCAUACAUUUCCAUUUCAAGCUACAUUAUAAUGCAUCAUAAUCCAACAAUAUCAUGAAGCAGCCCAUGGCCUCUUAUGCAUUCACUAGAAAUAUUUCCAUAGCACAAAUUGGCCAUGUCCCAAAAGAUAAUGCACAAAAAAAGCAUGAAAUAUCAUGAUUCUGUUAGGCUCUGUUUUGAAAUUAUUUACCUGAUGAACAACAGACAUAAAUGCCGAUCGAGGUUAUAUGGAAGCUUCAAAUACUGAAAAAGAAAACACACCCAUUGCAUUGAUGGCUACAGCUCUUCCUUUGAAACGCCAUUGAAGCUUCAAUUCGUGGAGCUUAAACCACUGCACCUCUUCGACCUCACGCGGAAAACGCAACAACAGCAUAUGCUUAGAAGAACAGAGGGAGAGGAAUAAGAUUGCAGCAACAUAACAGAAAGAGUGAAGGAACAAAAUUGAGACGAAGAAAAAGGGAAGAGAUCGGUCAAUACCUGUUCGCAGUUGAAGCAUCAAAUUUGGUAAGUCCUUUUGAUUUUCUUUUCUUUCUGUUUAAGUCCGCGAGCACAAUGUUGGAUGGAAUCACAUGUCGAUGAGGUUGAACACAAUCCAUGAACUCUAUUAUCUGUUAGAAUUAGAAUAUUAGGUUAUUAAGUGACAAUUAGAAAUUGUGAUUUAAUUAGAAUUCUAGUAUUGAUAGAUUUUGGAUUUUCAUUAGAAUUAAUUAGAAAUUUUAGAAUUUAACUAGGGUUUUAGAAUCUAUUUUAGACUAAUUAGAUUUUCACAUAAUUAUAUAUAAUUAUAAUUAAUUAGUUUUUGAUUAAAUGUUGAUUAUUAGAAACUAUUUUCCUAAUUAAUCCAUUUAUGCAUAUUGACUAUUUUACCCUUUAGAGGUUAUGUUUGUCAUUUUAGCCAUAAGGACAUGUUCCUUUAGGUUUAGAUCUUGACAUCAAUUUUUAAUCAAGUCUUGACCAAUUAUAUCAUGAUCCCUUAGGAUAGUUUGUAACAAAUUCUAACCAUUAGAUUAGGAUUUAAUCUAGUUUUCAAACUAAUUCAAACCUUCUGAUUCAAAUUGAUCAAAAGCAAUUUUGAUCAAUUAAAUCAUUUGAUAUUGUAUAAUCCCACAGUCUAAUUUGAGUGACACAAAUACUCUUGGUCACCUAAUGAGACUUUUUCGGUAAGUUGUGGAGCUCGAGGCCUCAAGUCAUAUUUUCAAUCAAGGCAUCAUCGGUCAGACCAAGCAGUGGAUAAUACAAGGUACAUCAAAGGUGGCAUCUUUGAGAGCUUGUCAAAUCAAAGUUAUGAUUGUGUGGCAUGAGCCUUGAGUAAUGAAGAAAGAAUGAGACUGAAGAAUUCCUACCCCCAUCAACACAAAGGGCAUCAUGUCAGCAACUUGUUAAUUUUGAUUCAAGUUGCAUGCCAUGAGCCUUAAGAAACAAAGAAUGAUGAGAGUGGGGAAUUCCUAUCCUUGUCUAGAAUAUUCUUGGGUACGGGACGAAUGACCCAGUUGCUCAAAGUAUUCGCCUUUUUCCAUAGACUUUGGUGCAAUUUAAAUCAUGCAAUUGACAAGCCUUCUUCUUCAAGCAAGCAUCAAUCAUUCAACACUUCAAUAGUGAAACACCAUUACCCCCUUUAGUAUUGGACUUUCCUCCUGGAUGUUCAUACAUUUCUUGGGAUUAUUACCUUGGGGUCACAUACCCAUCUCGCAAUCAAUUGCUUCAUGCAUUGCCUAUCAGUUCACACUAUGGCAUACUUCAUUGCUUGCCCUCAACGUACAGACCCUGACAUUCAGCCUAUGGAGUACAUACUCUGGCUUUGUUUCUUCCCCAUAAGGUACAGACCUUGGCAACUUCUUGCAGCCCAUAGAGUAUAGACUCUGGCUUUAUUCCUUGCCUACAACAUACCGAUCUUGGCAUCCUUGCCCUAAUGAGUUCAGACUCUGGCCAUCUGAUUUUGUCUAUACAGUACUGACUUUGACAUAUUAUUAUGCCUUAUAGUUAAGACUUUGGAAUUCAUUCAUCCAGCCCAUUGGGUUCAGACUUUGGCAUCGUACUAUUUUGCCCUUAUGGAGUUCAGACUCUGGCAUUCAAAUCAGUUCAUUUGCCUUAUAUAGUUCAGACUAUGGCAUGCUUAUACAUCUUGCCCAUGGAGUUCAGACUCUGGCAACCUUUAACAUUGUCUUGAAGUCAGACUUUAGAAUUAUAUCUCCUUUUCCCUUAUUGAGUUCAGACUCUGAGAAUCUGUUCCUUGCCUUUGUAUUAGUUCAGACUAUGGAAUUCAUCUAUCUUGCCUUGUGGAGUUCAGACUCUGGCUAUAUCUCAUUUGUCCUUAUGGUUGAUUACCAUCUUUGGUAAGUGUCAUACUCUCGCUUAUUAAGCAAUCACCUUGCCUCUGAGCAAUCCUAUCAAAUCUCCCUUUGCUUUCAGUUGUAGUAGGCUAAACUACGAUUGCUCUGAUUUUCUCAUUGCACGAUGAGAAUACAUAGGCACAAGGGUUCAAAUCCUCCGUGAGCAUACUUAUUUAUUACUCCUACCUUAGGGCAUUUCUCCAUCCAUCUCCAUGAUACAGUCAUAUACUACCUUUAUUCACUUCAUGUGAUAUACCCUAUUCUUUGAGCCAAAUACAUUAUACCUUUGUGCUCCAUCUUGUACCCCUUUGUGAACCAAGAGAUGUUUCUGUUGUGAAACCAAAAUUAAUUUCCUUUGUUUUCGGCUAUACCAUAUAGUGGCGAAUGUUCAGACAAUCCAUAUAUCGGUUUAUUCCAGUUUUACUCUUGGGUUCACGCUUUCACCCCUUGUUGGGGUUCAAAAUAUUAUCCUCUGGUUCAGGCCAUACCUUGAUCACAACUUCCUUUUCAUCUCCCACCACUAGUUCUUUGAACUACGAAGUUAUGAAUUCCUCAUUGCACUAUGAGUAUACAUAGGCAUGAGGGCCCUAAUCCUCACCGAGCACUCUAUCUAUUUCUUUUCAUUUUCCCCAUUCUUUUGCGAGUAAUCUUUAGAUACAACACUCAUUCGAGCGAGAACAAUCAAAACGGUUCCCAUGGAGUACCAUAGAUGUUAGGGAUGCUAAUACCUUCCCAUUGCAUAAUCAACUUCCUUACCCAACAUAUCUCUUUCCCCUGGGUUUUAUCGAUGUGUUCGGGUAUAUUUCCGCUAGCUGCAUCACCAACUCCAAAAUCUCAAAAAAGUGUUUUUAAAGGAACUCGCAUUAGCAAACCACCUCCUUCACCGUCUCUACCAAAAAUUUCAUUCAUUGACGAGAUGUUAUUUUUUUCAUAAAUACAUCGAACAAAUCGUCAAUGUUGAGGGUGACGGUAAUUGCGAUUUUCGAGCUAUUUCGAUUUUGCUGGGUAAAGGAGAAGAUGAUCACACACUUGUCUGCCAUCAACUUAUCCAUGGUUGAGGACCCAUAUAGAAUUAUACACACGACUUUACCGAAAGAAACAAAAUUUUGAUGCAAUUUAUGAGUCUUUUAUUCCUUGCAUUAGUGGUCCGAAACCAGAGGAAAAAUGAAUGUGCUUCCCUGAAAUGAGUCAUCUCAUAGCAAGUGCAUCUGAUAAAGUGUGUAUUGGUCUUACAAGAUACGAUUUUUUGGAAACUUUUUUUCCACUGCGCACCACCCAACCUCAAAAUCUAAAUGAUCGUAUUUUGUGUAUUAGAAUACCUUUAAAAUUACGACACUUUGUUCAAAUUUAUUUGAAACGGGAUGUCGUAUACCACUUACAUCAGUGGAGUGGACAACUCAUUCAACAAUAAAAUCCGGGACUUAGACGGGCCAAUUUAUGGAAAAGAUGCAAGAGUUUACCAAAUUGAGCGACAUUGAAAGUGAAUAUAAUGCACAAAAGUCAAAGGGGGAACCACUCAUACUUAUAAAUUUAGCCAUCGACAAAUAUUUCGAUUCGUUUUAGUUUUUCGUUAUCAAUUAAUUGUAUAUAAUUUUGUAUUAAUAGUAAGGGUUAAUAACAUUUUUAUAGAAACAUUCUAGUUGUACCUUGGGGGGAAUGACCCAUGAUUGAUGCUUACGUGUCAUGAUAAAUAUCAUGAUAUAUUUUAGUUUUUAGUUUUUUAAUUACAUAUAUGCUUACGUGGACUUACAGUUUUUUAUUUAUGAAUUAUUUCUAUUUUCAUGUGAAAAUUUAUUUUCUUUUUCAUUUAUUUUAAUCAUAACAAUUAUCAAAACUACUUUAAGAAAGUUCUAAAAUUUUGUCAACAAUGAAAUUCUCAUACGGAUUUGGCAAGGAACUUUGAAAGGAGAUUUGAAAGCGUGAACCACAACCAUAGAUAGGAAGAAGGAGAAUUAGGGUUCAACAUAGUUUGAACCGUGUUUAUGUUUAUGUUAGGGACCGAUUCGGGCUAGACCCAAUCUAGGUUCGGUUGAUCCACUAACCAUUAGUUUUUUUUUUAAAUUAUUUUGUGAGUAUACCAUUUGUUGUUUGGCCUUACCUAUUUGUGACUUGGGCAAACCCCACUUUAGGAGCCAUCUUGUCUUAUUUAUUUAUUUAUUUUUGUCUUUUCCUCAACCUUUUUUAUUGCAUUAAUAUUUUAGUAAAAGAAUAUAUAAAAAACAUAAACUUUUUCAUGAAAAAAAAGGUGGUUUACAAUUUUAUAAUAAUUGAUUUUUAUUGUUAUUUCAAUUUUUUUAUCAAUAAAUAAAUAAAAGUAGACAAAAUUUGUUUGAUGCGUGCCUUAGGGUUUCUUUUUCCUAUCAAGCUAUAUCUCAAAAGAAGAAUAUUUCUUUAAGAAUUAUUCCUUUUUUUAAAAAUAAAUUUGAUUCCAUUAUGGUUUGAUUUGUUUGAUCUUUAUUGAUUGUGUGAAUGCUUGUAUUGUUCAUACUUGAUCCAUGAUUUAUGUAACCUUUCACUUAGACCUUCGAUUGUUAGUAAGAUAAAAGUAAAUGUGCAAUAAAAUCAACCUUUUAAAAUAAGAUUCAAACACUCUAUCGAUAUGAAUUUGGUUUUAAAAAGAUCUCACUAUUUUCACCAUCCAUUCAAAGUUAAUUUCAAGUCAUCUCACAAAUUAUUUUCAUGCUAACACGAAUAAACCCUCGAUCAACAUCGAGUUUCUUUUUUGCUUAUUAAAAACUUGAAAAUCAUUUUCAUAAUAAAUCAGUUGAAAAAGGAAUGGGAGGCGCACACAUCUCUACUCCUCGAAUAAGUGAGUGAUUGGUAGACUCCAUAUUGCUCUAACUUUCAUCUUCCGAAUAAAAUAUCCUAAAUAAACAUGGAUGAAAAAGGAAGAGAGGCGCACACAUCUCUACUCCUCGAAUAAGCAAGUGGAAGACACACACCUCGCUACUGCGAAUAUUUUUUCUUCCGCAAAUAAUUUUCAAAAUAUUAAAAUCAAACAAAAAAGGAAUGGGAGGCGCACAACUUGUUGCUCCUCGAAUAAGUGAGUGAUUGGUGCGCGCCAUAUUGCUCGAGCUUUCAUCGUCUUCCUACAAAACACUAAACCAAUCAAACCUAUUUUCUCGCCCCCUUCGUUCAUCCCAAGACGAUGUAAACACGCUUCAUUUCUACCAUGCGCAAGAAGUUAUAACUCUUUUCGCUCGAAUGUGACGAGAACAAAUUUGUGAGAAUCUGGAUUAUGUUAUUCAUUCUAAUGUGAUGCCAAUGUUCACUUCUCCAUGUUUUUAGUAGCAAAUAAUGUUUUCGCUCGAAUGCGACUAAGUACCUUUCGUAAAAACUGAUCAACAAACAAAAAAUUUCUACCCAGAACUACGUAGCCUUGAGUUUUUCAUCGCACCUGAGAUAUGUAGAAGCGAGACCCGUAAUCUCGUCAGGCACAUUAAUAAAAGAAAACAUUUUGCGACCCAUUUUGUUUUCUCUUUACACUUUUGACCACUCGAAGAAAACAUAUGACAUAAGCUAAAAUUUCAACCACAAAUCUAACUAAAUGGUUCCCGUUGAGUGUAACAGAUGUGAGGGGUGUUAAUCCCUUCCCCUCGCAUAAUCGACUCCCAAACCUGAAUUUGAUUGUGACAAACAUUUUCUUUUUCUUUUAAGGAUUUUAUCAAUAUUUCCCCUCCUUUUUGGAAUAAAUCAAUUUUGAUGGUGACUCUGUUAUCUUGACCAUGCAAGCGCUCAUGGUCAUUUUUCGCGUCGCGACACUACUGUACAAUAGUUAUCUGUAUCAAAAACUAAAAUAUUUGUGUCUGUAUCUUGUUGUCUAGGAUUGUUGGAAACGAGAAGGAUGGAAAAAUAAAGUGUGUUUAUUUUUCUAUGUUGUAAAAUCACAAGGUGGUUUUUCUUGGUGAUUAAGUUAGAAUCUUGUGUAUAGAAUCUAGGUUUAGGCUUGUACAAAAUAAUAACAAUAUUGAAAUCUCUUAUAGUGUCUAAGGGGACUGACAUACUCUCAGAUUGUGAUGGGAACUAGUAUGAUUUUCGAUGUUAUUUACUUUAUGCACUUUACUGCUUUCACCACCUAACCAUAAACCAAAAAAUAAAGAAACAUUCAUCUCUAAAAACAAUGUACUUACAGCGAGAGCAUGAUAUUCCGCUUCAGUACAUGAACAAGACACAAAAUUUUGUUUCUUUAAGCGCUAUGAAAUCAAGGAGUUACCCCAUAACACAUAAAUGCUAGUGUAUAUUUCCUAGUAUCCAGACAACGUGCCCAGUCGAAGUCAGCAAAACCAUGCAGCUUUAAGGAAUUAUUGCUGGCAAAAAAAUGCCUCGAGUAGGAAAUGCCUUCAGAUACUUCAAAACUCGAGUGGCUUCCUAACGGUGAGGAACCAAGGGGUUAGCCACAUAUUGGCUAAGGUGACGGACAAUAAAAGAAAUACUUGGCCGUGUGUUUGUAAGGUAAAGUAGCCUGCUAAUUAAUUUACAAUAUGAAGAAGGGUCCUCUAAAGGAGUACCUUCACUAGAUGAGAGCUUCAUGUGAGGAUCAAUAGGUGUGGAGACAAGCUAAGCCCCAAGAAAACCAGUGUCCUCAAGCAGCUAGAGCAUGUAUGUUCUCUGGCUGAGAAAGAUACCAGAAGUAGAACGUGCAAUUUUGAGGCCCAAGAAGUACCUUAGUUGACUGAGAUCUUUAAUGCAAAAUUGUUGAUGCAGGAAAGACUUUACUUGUUUAUUCCACAAUCGAGUCGCUUGUCAAGACAAUAUCAUCAAUGCACACUGAUAAGGAAGUGAAACCAUGAGGUGUGAUCUUGGUGUAUAAUGAGUGACCAACAACAGAUUGAGAGUAGCCUAAUGAAAUGAGAGCUGAAGAAAGCUUAGAAUGCCAUUGUCGACUGACCUGUUUCAGUCCAUACAAUGAUUUUUUUAAGUGUACAAACCUUGUUGGAUUCAAGAUUACCAUAGCCAAGAGGAAGAGACAUAUAUACUUCUUUAUUUAGGUCUCCAUGAAGGAAGGAGUUUUUAACGUCCAGUUGCUCAAGGUGCCAGUGUUUGACAGCUGCAAGAGAUAAAAGAACACGAACAAUAGUAAUUUUGGCAAUUGGGAAAAAAGUAUCAAAGUAAACUACAUGUUCUAAUUGAGUGUAACCCUUGGCUACCAACCGGUCCUUGCAUAUAUCAAUAGAGCCAUUGGCAUGGUACUUGACUUUGUAUAUCCAUUUACAACCAACUGGAGUUUUGCCUAGAGGAAGGUCCACAAUGGUCCAAGUUUGAUUGUCCUUAAGAGAUGCAAUUUCAGUAUCCAUGGCCUACUUCCAACAGUCAUGUUUAGAGGUAUGAAGAUAGGUUUUUGGUUUAAAUAUGGAUGAAAUAGAGCAACAAAAGGAUUUGUAAGUUGGAGAGCAUUUUUUAUAUGAUAUAAAGUUGGAGAUAUGGAAGGUAGUGGAAGAGGAGUUAUUUAUAGAGGCAUAUCUAUUUGAUGAAAGAAAGAGAUUACAAUAAUAGUCUUUGAGAAAACUAUGAGGGUGUUUGGUUCUCAUUGAUUUUUGAGUUAGUAGUGUGGAUUGGUUUUGGGGAAUGUCUGAGGGAGGGUUAGAAUUAUGUGGAUACAUGUUAUCAACUAAGGUAUCAUGAAGGAUGUUGGGUUCAAAGUCAAUAACACUAGGAUCUUGGGUACUUGGUGAUGGAUUAAAAGUAGUUUGAUAUGGACUUGAGGUACUAGAGUCAAUCAAAGUAGGUUGAUUGAGACUUGGAAGGUUAGGGAUAAGUCCUGUUUCAGAAGUAAUAGGAUAAUCAUAAGAAUUUGUGACUGGUGUGACAACAGUAGAAGGAGUGGACAUAUGAGGCUCAGGGGUCAGAGUGAGGGCCUGAGGUGUAACAUAGUCAAUGUCAUAGGUGAUGUCCAUCAAGCUAUGAAUAUAAGUAGGGAGAUUUGUGGCAUUACUUUUGAAUGGAAAGGUGGUUUCAUAAAAGAAAACAUUUAGAGAUAUGAAUAAGUUAUGAGACUGAAGGUCAUAGAGAAUAUAACCUUUAGUACCAUCUUUGAAACCAAGGAGAAUGGCUUUUCUAGCCCUACCAUUGAAUUUUGUUAUGUGGGUCUGUAAAGUUGUUGAAAAACAUAAACAAACAAAGACUUUCAAAUGAACAAUAAUAUAUUAAGUUUUGAAAAAGCAACUCGUAUGGAGAUUUUGACUGAAGUUGAGGACUAGGGAUCCUAUUAGUCUUGUGGACAACAUGUUGAAUACUGAAGUUCCAUAGGUUUAAAGGAAUAUGUGUUAAUGUUUUCUCUCAACCACCCCAUUUUGCUGUUUUUGUUAUAGUGGUGGUGGUGGUGUGUGUGUGGCGGGGGGGGGGGUGUUCUACACAAGAUUUAUGGCGACUUAUGCCUUUGGAAGGGAAAAAGGAACUAAGAGUUAGGAACUUUGAACCCUUAUAUGACCUAAAGCAUUUAAGAGUGGUUUUGAAUUUAUUUCCUAUUGAGGCAAUAAAAUGUAUUACACUUUGUUUUGUUUCAGAUUUUUCCUUAAUAAAAUGACCCAUGUAAACCUUGAAAAUCCAUCAAUAAGAGUUAAGAAAUAUUUAUAGCCUAAAAUAGAAUCAGUAGAAAAGGGCCCCCAUAAAUCAACAUGUAAAAGUUCAAAUGGAGCAUGAGUAUGAGUAAGACUAUUUAGAAAGGGGAAUUUCUUUUGUUUUGCAAAAUGAAACGAAUCACAAGGGUUCAUGUUAUUUUUACAAGGGAUGGGGGGAAAAUGUUUAGCCAUAGUUUUCAUACUGAAAUUAGAAAGGUGGCCUAGUCUUAGAUGCCAAAGUUCAAAGGAAUUAGAAAUAACAUAAUUACUAGUGGAAUAAACAUCACUAAUAUCUAUCACAUAGAGGCCUCUGUGCCAUUUAGUUGUACCAAGCAUUUGCUUUGGAUGGUUCUGCAAAAUAUGACACAAGUUUGAAGAAAAUUUCAGAUAGCAAUCAAUAUUGCUAGUCAAUUUUGUGACUAAGAUUAAAUUAACAUGAAAGUUAGGAAUAUAGUGAAAAUUGUAAAGAGUUAAGGAAAGGGAAAUGACAAUGUUUCUAGAUAUGCAGGCAGUCAUGUGAGAUUCAUUUGGUAAGGAGAUUAAGCUAUUGAUUAACUUAACUCACAAAGAAAGAGUCGCCACAACGCUUUUAUUAUUUCCAAAGAAAAUAGAAAAAGAACGAACCAAACCCAAAGAAGUUUAAAAAAAACUAAUAAAAACAAAGAUAAGGGUCCAGGGGUUGGUUAUGUACAGGGAAGAUACUAGCACCCUAAGCAUCUAUAGUACUCUACAGGAACAUCUUUGAAAAUAUGUGCAUUUAGAUUUAAAAUGGUGUUGUUUACAAAAGAUUAGGGAGAUGAAAAGAGAUUUUUUUUUUAUAAUUUUUGUGUUUGCCAAGACUUUCUGAACCUCGUGCCUACGUACCCAUAAAGUGCAAUGGCGAAUCAAAACCUCGUAGUUCGUGGUAAAAAUAACAAAGAUGUUUGCUUUGAUUCAUUUUUAAUGAAUUUUUUUUUGUCAUUUUAAGAAGAACAUUCAACUAGCCAUCCACAAGUAUGGGAACUUUGCAUCACCAUGAGAAGGACUCUAACUUGGAUAAAUAUCAACUAGCUCUCUUAUAUAGAAAAGAAUUAUUAUCAAUACUAUGGGGAUAGAAAAAUUAUAUAUCAACUAUGGAAAUGACUCGUGUCUAAACUUUGAGAAAAAAGUUUUAAAAAGGAAAAAAAAAAGUGCACAAAGGGCACAAAAAGGUUUGAAUGAGUUAUGCAUUUUUAGUUUUUUGAAAUUGGUUUGAAUAUGAUUAAGAUGUAUUAGAAUUUAUUAAUAAAAGAUUUUGAAAAGAAAUCACUUGAAAAAAGUCAAGGUUUAUUGAGGAAGUAGUUCAAGUUUGAAAACAAGAAUGUUUUGAAAAAAAGAGAGAAGAUUUUGAAAAUCAAAGAAGGGGAGGAGAGGAAGAGAUUAUCCUAGAACAUAAAGUAAAAGCUAUGGAGGAAAGAUCCAACCAAGAGAUAACAACAAGAAUUCACUCCUUUGGAUUAAGCCUUAAGCAAGUCAAAUAAGCAAAGAAUAUUCCAUGUAUCAGAUGAAACCAAAGUAGCCAAGCAAAAUCUUCAAAAGAAUCUCAAAGUCAAAGGUAGCAGAUGAAUCUCAAGGUCUCAAAUCAGAAACUCCCAAAAGAUAAACAAGUAUGCCACUAGUUCUCUUAGAUGGAAAAUAAUUAUCAUCAAUACUAUGGGUAUAGAAUAAUUACAUCUCAACUAUGGAAAUGACUCAUGUCUAAACUUUGAGAAAAAGUUUUAAAAGAAAAAGUGCACAAAGGGCACAAAAUAGUUUGAAUGAGUAAUGUAUUUUUUAAGUCUUUUGAAAUUGGUUUAAAUGUGCUUAAUAUUUAUUAGCAUUUAUUAAGAAAAUAUUUUGAAAAUCACUUGACAAAAGUCAAGGUUUAUUGAGAAAGUGAUUCAAGUUUGAAAACAAGAAGGUUCUUGAAAAAAAAAGAGAAGAUUUUGAAAAUUAAAGAAGGGGAGGAGCUAAGAAGAUUAUCCUAAAACAUAAAGUAAAAGUUAGGGUGAAAAAUCUAACUAAGAGAUAGCAAGCUUUAUGACAUGUGUUAAGUAAGAACACUCUCCUUUGGAUUAAGCUUCAAGCAAGUCAAACAAGCAAAGAAAAAUCCAUGUGUCAGAUGAAACCAAAGUAACCAAGGAAAUUAUUUAAAGUAAUCCCAAAGUCAAAGGUACCAGAUGAAUCCCAAGGUCUCAAACUAUAAACUCCCAAACAAGGGUCAAAAUUCUAGUUCUAACUCCGUAACUCCAUAAUAAUCCCAAUGAUAGUAACCUCAAGUCCAUGAAUUAAGAGAACCAAUUUUUAGGGGUUUUUUCCUUUAUUAAUGUAUUUAAAAGAAAAAGAAGUCUAAAUGGACAAAGAAAAAAAGGCAUAAACAUAAACAAAGGUCCAAGUGGACAAAUAGAAAAUAGCAUAAAUACAAACAAUAUGAUAUGCGAUGCUAAAAUAAAAUCAUAAAGUUAAUAACAAGAAAUAAAUGGCAAAAAAAUAAAGAGCAUAAGAUAAAUGGCAUUAAAGUAAAUUUAAUAUAAUAAUAUGUUAGUAAGUUGUGUUAGUAAUAAAAAAUUGAAAGAUAAUUUAUCAUUUUUGGGAGAAUACUCAACUAUUCGCCCACAAGUAUGAAAAUGUGGACCUCUACAUCACCAUGAGAAAGACUCCAACUUGGAUAAAAUCAAUAAGUAUGCCACUAGUUUUAUUAGGUGAAAAGGAAACAAUAUUUUUCACACAAUACCAUGGGGAGUAGGAGACUUACAAUCUCACUUAUGAAAAUGACUUACUUUCGGAUUCAGGAUAAAUUUAACGUUAUGUUAAGCAAUCGUAAUUGGACUCAUGUUGAAGUCACAACUAUCUGAGCCCGGUCAAUAAUAAUAUUUAUGUUAAUACAUGCUAGAGAAAUUAUAUGUAAAUCAUUCUCCUAAAGAUAUGCCACACAAAAAAAGGAUGGAUCAAGCACAAAUGUUAAGAGAGUUGUUCAUUACAUCAAUCAAUACUUCAUGAUACUUAGGACAAGCUUAUGCAUCAAUCUAAAGUACCUUAAAUAUUCUAUGAUCAAUUAGGAGGUAGAUUUGAAGUGAUGAAAGUUCAUCAAGUACCAAUUCAUACAUCAUAAACAAGAUGAACACAAACCAUCCAAUUGAUCAAGAGAAAAAAGGAAGCGAAAGAGAUUAAGAAGAAGAAGAAGACGAGAGAAACCAAACUCAAAUUGGAUCAAAGGAUUGAUCAAGUCAUCAUCAAAAUCAAUCAUCCAUCUUGGUAGAUUUGGGUUUUCACCCCAUCAACACCGAAGAUCCAUUGAAUUUGAUGAGAUUUAUGAUCAAAAUAGCCAAGAUCCAAGGUCAACAGAAGUCAACAAAGGUCAAACAAGCAUAAAAUGAAAGAAAAUAAAAUAAAAUGCAUCAAAAAUAUUUUUUAAAUGAAUUUUAAAAGGCAAAUAAAACAAAAAAUUCCAUAAAACCCUUUAAAAUACCAAAUAAAUGGCCAAGAAAAUUAUGGAAGGUUGAAGAUAAAAUAAGGAACAUAAAAUAAAUUUUUCAAAUAUUUUUAAUGCAUAAAAGUAUUUUUAAACUAAUUAAAAAAAGGGGAAAAAGAGGAAAUCCAAGAAAAUAAAAUAUGGAAAAAUAAAAAUCAGAUGAAGAAAAAAAAAAGAAAAUUUUAGAAAAUAUUUUGGGAUUUUUUGGAUAAAAAAUGAAUUUUCUAUAAAUUUUUAAAGAAAAUGCAAUUUAAAAUAAAAAAUAAAAAGAAAUAAAAAACAGAAAAAAAUAGAGGCAUUGGAUCUGACCUCAUUAAUUGACGUGGCAAAUCCAACAACUAUCAGGCUAGGGCGCAUGGUGGAAAAUAGUUAGAAUAAAACAUGGAAUCACAUUCAAAAUGGACCAAUCAAAACAUUUCAAAAUGCCAACGUGGAUAGCCAACUCAGAUGGCCUGAAACAAAUCCAUUCAUCUUCUUCGGUAAUCCCUCAUCGGAGUUUCAUCAUUUGACAAAGUAAGAACAUGAGACUACCACCAAUGUGAUCGUCUCCUCAUCACGAAUUCAACCUAAUGCUCAAAAUUAAUUUAUCUAAAUUGAGUAUGGAGAAUUUCAGAGAAGUUUUAGAAACAAGCAAGUCACAAAAAGUAAAAUUAAAUGAUGAACAUUAUCACUCAACACCAGAUAAGUUAGGGGAAAGCAUAAGAGGGUGAAGGACUACAUUGUGGUAACUCGUUUGAGUUCAAAUGAUGCUCAAAACUACCUUGUCCAAAUGUAGAUCGGAGGUUGAAGAAGCUUGAUCUGGUCAGGGCACUUCAGAAGGUCUUACAGAUUGAGAAUUAUUGCAAAAUCUUCAUAGGAGACUGAAAGUUUUAAUUGAAUCAAGAAAUUGAACUGAAACAAGCUAGAAAUCAAACACGAUAGCUCAAUUUUCUAGAAAUGUUUAAUAGUGGAGCAGGGGUUUUUUAGCUCUCCAAAGCUUGGGAAUAAGGCAAAUAUAUUGCUCUAUUUAUAGGGAAGUGAUUGGUGAUCUCAUACGUGCCAAAUGAUGCUUAAUUCGUGCAAAACAAAUUUGCUCAUGAUGUGAGAAAAGUGUGACUUGUAAAACCAUCAAAACUCAGCCAAAUUAUGCAUUAAAUGAUUCAUUUAACUUUUGAAGACUUGAUUAAUCAUGUUUAGGUCCAAAACGUGUGGUAAAUUGGCUUGUAAUUAAGGAUUAGUGAAGUUCAAAAUUCUGAACAUGGUGAUUUCUUCAGUUCCAAGUUACCAUGUUUAAUUCAAUGGGGCAUCUUGCCUAGGAGGCUUUUUGAUCUCAUUUUUCUUGCAAUUUUUGGACAUCAUAUCAAAGAUUACAAUGUGCCAAGAAAGGUUGCAUUUGGAUGCUUGAGCAGAAGUUUAUGGCAUGUUAAAGUUGGCACAAAAAUUUGGUUAUGCAACUUGGAAAAUUCUAAGUCCCAGAUGGCUAAAAAUGACCCAUAAUGUCUCAAAGAAUUCCAUGGUCUUCCAAGCAUAAUUUGACUUUGAUCCUUGAAGAAAACUUGUAGAGGGCAUCACAAAUGAUAUUAUUCAAAAAGAAUCAGCGUCAAAUGUUGGAAAUUGAAGAAGUUAUAAUCCUUGAAAGUUGAGAAAAAGUCACUUGAAAAUAGGUCAAAUUUCACUAGGUCCACAAAUGACCUAUAAUGUCUUCAAACUUUUGAUGAUCCUCCAUGCAUAAUUGGAUCUUGUAAUGUAAAGAGAAGUUAUAGAGGAUAUUUAGAAGAGUCAUAUGCAAAAAGAAACAUUCAAAAAUAUUGAGGAUUGAAGGAAUUGUGAACCUUGGAACUUUGACUUCAAAUGUUGAAUUUUUGGUCAAACCUCUUGGAAUAAACUUGUGUACUUGGACUUUUAUUGCAUUUCAAGGUACAUGGAUGAUCAUAUGAACUAAAAAUAAGGUGUCCUUAAAUUUAUUUUUAUUAAAUUUCUUAAAGUUUGAGGUAACAUAUUGAAGAAGGCAUGGAAAUAAACACAUGAACCUUUGCCUUUUCUUGAGACCGAUUAUCCACUUUUGUGUAACCGAUUACAAGCGCAAUAUUUUGAUUUUUCCUGCUAUUUUACUUGGUCAAUUCAGUUCCCAAUUGUGUUGUAUCUCUUGUAUAAGUGUUUAGAAUGCACACUCAUCUAAGGUUAAUGCAAUAAUAAUCUCUCACCCUUAAUUCUCCUCUUUCACACUCUACAUCCAAAGUAUCUCCACCAUUGUUCAUCAAACUUGUUGUGUCUUGUUCCAACAUUUGACAUCAAGAGUCUGGUUCAGAUCCACAAACACCUAGUGUGCAACAUGAAUUAUGUUUCCAAUGAAAGAAUCCCUGCAAACCUACAUAUCCUUGAUGCGAAGAAUUAUGAUAAAUGGUGCAAGAAAAUGAAGAUGUUGUUUGGCUACCAAAAUGUUCUUAAAGUAAUCAAGAAUGGUGUUAGCCCUCUUGUUCAAAAUGCAACAGAGGUGCAAAAAGAAACACAUAAGAAAGAGAAGAAGAAAUACUUCAAAGUGUUAUUCUUGAUCCAUCAAUGUGUUGAUGGCGACAAUUUUAAGAAAGUUGGUGAUUGCGAAUCGUCAAAGCAAGUGUGAGAGAUCUUAGAAAAGACAUGUGGAUGGGUUGACAAGGAAAAGGUGGCGAGGUUACAAACUUACAAACACCAGUUUGAAUUGAUUCAAAUGGAGGAAAAGGAGACAAUAAACUAUUUUGCAAUGAGAAUCACCCGGUUGGUGAAUCAAGUGAAGGCAUGCAAAGAAACUGUUACAAAGCAGUAUGUUGUCGCUAAAUCUUGCAUUCUUUAACACUAAGAUUUGACAAUAUAGUUGUGGCGAUUGAGGAGUCAAAGGAUCUCACGAUGAUGAGUAAAGAGAAGCUGCAAAGUUCUCUCGAGGCUCAUGAUAAAAGGAUGGAAGAGAGGAAUAACGUUAAGGCAAAGGCGGAGAUCGCUUUGCAAGCUCGUUUCAAUGAGAAGGACAAGAGAUCGAAAGGAAAAUGGCCCAAGAAAAGAAAAGGGAAUUUUCAUAAUUUUGGUGGAAGAGAGUCCUAAAAUUCAAAUAAUUUUACUUGUCAAAGGGGUGAGAGCAUCUUCAACAAACAUGGUGGUCAAGGCAACUUUAGAGGUAGAAGGAAGAGGUUUGACAAGAGCAAGGAGUAGUGCUAUAAGUAUCAAUGGUUUGGCCAGUUUGCAAAAGAAUGCAAUUUGAACAAGAAGGAAUCUCAAGGGGAUGAAGCCAAGGUUGCAAGAUAAGAGUUUGAUAAAGAGAAUACAUUUUUGGUCAUGAUCAAAGAAGGGAAUUGUAGCAGCAAACAACUGCGGGACAACAACUACAACAACUCAACGAAUGCUGAAUAGGUUGGUUGAAUGAUACGAUUAACCAAUUGCAUGAAGAGGAAGACGCCAUGAUGAGUUUGAAAGGAGUUCAAUGCAGUGAGGAGUGGUAUUUGGACUUGGUUUGUUCAACUCAUAUAACGGGAAUAAAGGAUUGGUGUGCCAAAAUCAAUUGUGCCAUGAAGAACAAAGUAAAGUUCGCGGAUGACACCACUCUAAUAUUCAAUGGGAUCAGUGAUGUUUUAAUCAUGAGAAGGGAUAAUGGACAUUCCUUGACCAUAAAUUCUUGUACAUUUAGGGAAUCAAAUGUAACCUUCUGAGUAUUGGCCAAUUUCUUGAGAAGGGUUAUAAGAUUCACAUGGAAGACAAGGGGUUGCGGGUUAUGGAUGUAAGAUGAGUCUUGGUCCUUAAAGCGCAUAUGGAUGCCAAUAAAACCUUUAAGGUUGAGUUGAAGGUUAUAGAGCAUAAAUAUCUUGCUACUGUAACAAGUAGACAAUAUUGGAUUUGGCACUAUCGUCUUAGGUAUCUCAACUUUAGAGAUUUCAAAGACUUUCAAAAGAACAGAAUGGUAACGGGGCUGCCAUCGAUCAACAUACUAGCUGAAAUUUAUGAAGAAUGUAUGCAAGCGAAGCAACAUAUGGGAAAAUUAAGAAAGUAGAUUCUAUUGGUGGCAAUAUGUAUUUUUUCACAUUUAUCGAUGAUCAUAGUACGAAGCUAUGGACAUACCUAAUCAAGAGAAAUGACGAUGUAUUUGAUGAUUGUUUGUCAUUGCAUAUAUUUAAUCGAAGAAUCAAAGAAAAAUAAGUGAAAUUUGAGAUAAAAUGAAGAAGAAUGAGGAAAAAAUAGCUAAGUGUGAAAAUUGUGGACUUAUUGAAAAUUUGAGUGAAAAGGGGAGCAAAACCGUGCAACCACGGGAAUAAUCACGCGCACCAUCACAUAGCAUCGUGCACGCGAUGGGGUCUUUAAAGCAGCAUUACACGCGCGAUACAAGGAAUCACGCGCGUGAUAAGUACUUUUUAUGGGCUUUUUAGACACGUUCUAGUCCAUUCUAACGCCUUUAAAAGAGGAUUUUCUGCACUUUCACAAGGGUUACAAAAUUGGGAGAUCUAGGCACGAUUUUGAGAGCACAAGUGGUGAUUUUUAUAGCAUUGGAAGCUAUUGGAGGCCAUUACUUCAACGUAUUUCACAUGUUAUUUUCAUCUAUCAAUUAUGGCAUUUUUAAUUGCAUUAUGAGUAGCUAAGCUCUUUUAUAUUAGGUUGUGUUAUGAUGAACCUAUUUCUAUAUUGUUGGAAUCUAUGUUGAUUUAACCAUUCUAAGAACCGUUUGAACUAUAAUUCCAUUCAAUUGCUUUUUGUUCAUAAUUCCUUUUAUGUGAGAUACUCUUUUAAUCUGAUUUUGGGCACAUAGGGAAUAUUGACUAUUAGUCUAUGUGUUGGACCUAGGGAAAUUGUUGUACUUACGCUGGUUGAAUAGGAAUAGGAGACCCUGAGUAGUGGCAUAGAGAAUUAAUGUUUUAUACAUCACCUAACCUUGCUUACGCUGGCAGACUAGGGAUAGAAAGCUCUGAGUAGUGGUUAGUGAGUUAUUUCGCGAGGGAUCAGCUAUAACGGUUUUGUUAAUUCGAUGUGGUGUUAUAGUGAUAAGACCAUUCGUAAAAGAUAUAAAACAUCAACAAUAGAGGAAUAGGGGAUUCUAGAACACAAUAUGCUCGUUUUCGUGAUAUUGUUUAAUUGUUUAUUUACUUUUCGCACUGAAACUCGAAAACCCCCCUUUUUACUAGUUUUCUAUAAAUUGCACACAUUUUGUCUUGCCUGAAGGAAAUUCAUGUGGAUUCGAUCUUUUUAUUACUUCGACAAUAUCAAUACACUUAUCGAGAAAUCAUUAAGUUUUUGGCGUCGUUGCCAGGGACUGUUGAUUUUUCAACAAGGCGAUGUUUGUGCAAUUUUUAUUUUUAUUUUUUUAGUCUUUUAGUUUUUUUUUUCUUUUUCUUGUUUAUCAUAGUGCUAUUGAGGUAUUUUUUGUUUGUGUAUGCACAAUUUAGGAUCAACAUUAAUACCAUUGGUUCUAGAAAUUGAAAGAACUACACGUGCUCUCAGAAAAGCAGUUAGAGAAGCAGCUCUGAAAGGAGGAAUACUAGAAGAAGAGCAACUAUCAAAUUCUUCUGACUCUGAAGAAGAAGCUGUAAUGGAAGCUGCACAACCCCUAACUAUGGGGCAUUAUUAUAAAUUAACCGAUGAAGGACACUUAUCAAGAGGGUUUGUGCUGGUAGACCCUGCUAACUUUGAUAUUAAAAAUUAUGUGCUUUAAGGUUUGAGAGAAAAUUCGUUUGAUGGGAACACGAUUAGAGACCCAUGGGUGCAUCUUACACACUUUUAUGAAAUAACUUAAAUGUGCAAACCAACUGAUGCCACUGAAGAGCAGGUUAAAUUGAGGUUGUUUGGGUUCUCACUAAUUGGAAGGGAGAAAGAUUGGUUACUUUGCCUUCCGAAUAAAACGAUACAUACUUGGAAGGAAUUAAAGGAUAAAUUCCUCGAAAUAUUUUUCAUUACUACUCAGUUUACCGAGCGCUAAGCAGAAAUUGUGAAUUUUGUGCAGCAGGAAACUGAGUCACUUUAUGACUCUUGAGAAAGAUUCAAAUUUUUGUUACGCAGAUGCCUGAAUCACAACAUGAAUAAUAUGGUGCAGAUGUAAAACUUCAUUAAAGGUCUCAAGAGUCAAACUCACAUGUUAUUGGAUGCUUCUACGAGAGGUACUAUCUGAAAAAUGAAUGAACCACGGGUAAAAGAUCUCAUUAAGAAGAUGUGUAUGAAGGAGUACCGAUCCAAGAAUGAAAGGUCGGUCAAGAUGGGAAUUGUGGGCACGCCUAAAGGUAUGUUACCUAUUGAUACCCACACUGCUCUUUUAGCUCAGAUUGAAUUAUUAAAUAAAAAUCUAGUUGGAAGCAGCUUAGUUAAAGCUAAUGUAGGCUAGGUACAAGCACUUGGGUGCGAUUUAUGUAGAAGAGAACAUGCGAAUGAAAGGUGUUCAUUGGAAGAGACAAGUGAGGAGGUCCAAUUUGCUAAUUUUUUAAAAAAUAACUUGUAUUCAAACACAUACAAUCUGGGUUGAAAAGACCAUCCAAAAUUCCGUUGGAAUAAUAAUCAAAAUUCAAAUGCUAACUAAGGGAUGCAACAAAGUCAACAAGCUCUGUUUCAAAGGAAUCCCAUCACAGUUGGUAGAGACCUCACAAAAUUUCAUUAAGGUCACUCAAAGUAGAUUUGAUAGGGUAAAGAAGACCCAUGAAUAAAUGAGUAGAAACUAGGAUGCGUCUAUCAAAAUUUUGGAGAUGAAGAUUGGUUAAUUAUCUAGAAAAGUAGCUACUUUGUCAAGCUCAAGUGGAGGAUUCACCAGUAACACCGUUGAUAACCAUAAGAAUGAUAACCCUAAAUAUAGGUUUAAGGGCAAUUACUGAAAAGGAUAAGGAUGAGAUAGUUAAACAAUGUGUGGUUAAGGCAUAUGAGGGUACCUGUAGCACCUCAAAUUUGCACCCCCCAUUCAUGCAUUCAUUUCAUUUUUUAGGUCAUUUAUCAUUCCAUAUUGCAUUGCAUUUUGGCAGUCAGCAUUGGCAUCAAGAGAUUCAUCAGUACAAAAGAGAAAGUUUUUUCUUGAGAUGAAGGCCAAAUGAUUAUACUAAAGAGCUUAUAUGAGCCCAGGUUCAUUUUGAAGCAAAGUUACCAAGUGGUAGAGGCCCAAACUCAUCAGUGCACUUCCAGGUCAUCUGAGGCCCAUACAAGUCAACUAUGCAGUCAACUAAGGGCUUUGAGUUGGGGAAAUGGUUUGAGACACUUCAUUCAUGUCCAAAAGAGGCUUUUUCAUCAUGUCAAACAUCUACCUUGAAGAUUUUGAAGUCAAAUCAAAAGUUUCCAAAAAUGGAAAGUGACCUGUAAUUCAAAGUUUCCAAAAAUGGCAAGUUUUUAGACCACAUUCAACUUGACUUUCCAACAUCAAAUAAGCUUCAAAUGAAUUUUUGGUCAACAUGAAAGUUGAAGAUAUUUCUCUCCUAUUUCCAAAAAGUCCAAGAGUAUGAGUAUCUGAUGAAUGGUUGAGAAGUUAUGAACAAAUGAUUGCAAAGUAUGCAUGGAACUUCAAAGUGCCAUAACUUUUGAUCCAAAACUCCAAAUUGAGCCACUCUUUUUGCAAAAUGCUUGUAUUGACCAAUAUUUUCCAAAUCAAACAUUGCAUUGCAUGAAAUUAACUCACAUGAUCAUUUGUCCAUGCAUGUAUAUUUUGGAGGGAAAAUGGAUAAUUCAAAUUCUAUUGAUCAUACAUGAAAAAUUCCUAUGCCAUUGUGAUCUUUGGAUGAUUUUAAGUGACUUUUAACCAUGCAUGUGCACUGUUCACGUGUAAAAUCUCCAUGCACCACACAUUUACCAUUUUUGCAUUACACCUCAUUUCUCAUUAAGUUUCCAUUAGCCAAGCCUAAUUGUGAUUAGCAUGAUAAUUAACAUGUGAUAUAAAUAGAUAAUCCUAACUGAAUUGGAUGAGAUUACACAUUCUAGAUCUAGAAAUUGGAUUUCCCUCCAAAAAUUCUCUCAAUUCAAACAUCAAAUUUCUACACAUAACUCAUGAAUUUUCUUGCAUAAUUGUGUUCAUCUUGCAUCAUUGAGUAAGAAUCAAGGCCUGGACUGAAGGAUUUGGUGCAGAGUCGAGCUCCACGAAUGCAUGAAAAUGAAGAAGGUUUUCUGAAUUUGAGCUUCAUUUAGGUAGUUUCAAUUGCUAUUCCUUCCAUAAAGCUUCACCUCAAGGUUGAUAGAGGAGACCUGGAGCUGGAGGAGGCUUGAAUCCACGAAAUCAUCGCACUGUUCUUCAAGAAGGUUAAAAUUUGAAUCUCAUUAUUUGCCAUUUUAUGCACAUGAUCUUGUAGGUCGUGCUCCACUGAUGAUUCUGAUAUGAAUAUUAUUGAUUUUGGCUGGAUAUUGAGUGAGUUAUGAUGAAUUAAAGUUUGUAUGCUAAAUUUGUUCUUGCUCGAUCCAUGAGAUAUGUGAUGAUUUAGAGUGAAUUAGGCAUGGAUUUGGAAUGUACGUUAUGCAAGCUUUCGAUCCAUAUCAUUUUUGCAUGAUUCUAGAAUUUUUUUGAUGCACCUUCAUCGGCGUACCACCGGAGAAGAUGACCGAAAGUACUAUUCCGGUCAUCUGGUUCAUGAGCUAGGGUUUUAAUGUGCGCACCUGUAACCAUGCAAGCCCCAGUUCGAUCCUUGGCAACUGUUAUUUUAAAAUCCAUUUAUUUUCUCCCUAUGAUCCAAACGUUGCGUUUUGCUCUAGCGCCCUUGUGAACAAGCCUUGCCUCUGUUCGAUUCUUGGCCUGGCAAUUAUCCCAAUUGAUUUUAUUGAGCGCGCCUAUGACCCUAUAGUCCUCAGUUCGAUUCAGGCGCUUUGCAUUUUUUCUUUUAUUUUCAAUUGAAGCGCUGCCUUGGACCUUUGUGUCCUGAGUUCAAUCCCUGACCAAGUAUUUUUCAUCUUUUAAUUCACAUUUCAUUUUUUCACAUGAUUGUUGUGAUGUCUAUUAUUUUUUGAUGUGAUUUUCCUAAUUUUUGUAUUUCUGGAAUUUUAAAUGUGUUUGUGUGAUUGAACAUGAUGCAAAUAUGACAUGUUAUGCUAAAUGUUUUAUGAAAUGCUCAUAUUUUAUCCAAUUGCCUUGAAAUUUGACAUGCUUGAUCUAUACAUGUGACAUGAUUUUUGAGCUUUUGUUUGGCAUUUUUAGCACAUUCCAUCACUGUUUGGGACACAUGAACAUAUGAUGUAGCAUUUGGUGUCACAUUCUUGACCUUGCUUGUGUUCAUUUUCAUUUGCAUGUCAUUUGAUAUCUUCUGGACCUAAUUCUUUGCAUGAUGCUUGUGUUUAAAAUUUUGAUCUCACAUAAAAAAUUUCAUGAUCAUUGGAUGCAUUUCUGUUUUAAUGUGGAUUUUCUACCUUUUUCUUGCCUUGUGUAGAUGAUGAAUAAGCACCACUGUUGAUUGACUGUUUGGUUUGUCUGAAUGUGAUAUUGACUGUUUGACUUUUGUACAGGUACAUUAGUCGCUUUUAGCUCUCGCUUGAGCUUUGCUUUGGUUGUGGUUGAUAUACCACCUAGGUAAUCACUCUAACUCCAUGUAGUCUGGAAGCCCUGUCGUUUCUUUUGGCAUGCAUUUGGUUGAAGUCCUCCUUAAGAGGCAAUGACUGUGUUUAUUUAUAUUUAUGCCAAAGACCUCCUUGUCGAGGCAUGUUACUUGUUAAGUCCUCCUAAGUGAAGAGGCAAUUGACAGAUGGAAAGGAUUAGCAAUCAAUCCCCUGUUAUUCGUUGAAUCGUUCAUUAUGCUCGCACUAUAUGCUGAUGCUCUUGAACCUAACCCAAGAUCCUUGUAUAUAGAGUCAGUCAAGUGGAAUAGGGUCCCUCUUUCUGGAUCCCCAGGUUUUCAUUGAUUUGAGCUCACCCAGGCCAGGGUUAAGAGCAUGAGGUCUUAUCCUCAUUACCUUUCAUCAGCUUCACCCUAACUCUCAAUGUUAGUGGUUAAGAGCUUCAGCACACCCCUACAGUUUUGGCUUGUUUGUCGAGGUUGAUAUGACCCCUUGACUAAAGCCUUACCCUCAGAUGUUUGAGCCCCUUGUUGGCGUGUUUACUUCAUGUAUAUGUUUUUGUGUGGUGUGAUUGUAUCCCCAUAGGAUUGCUAGACUUCGUAUAGUCUCUCGUUUGCAUGUCAAUUAAGGUAGCAUGGUUCCUUCGUCUAGGACUUCCUUUCUUGCGUGAGCAUUCCUAAAACACAAACAAACUUUAUCUUCUCUUAAGGACACGUUGACUCCUUCUACUACAGGUGAGUAAGUCUCCAAAGGUCGAGCAUCCAUCUAGGACUUCCUUUCUUGCGUGAGCAUUCCUAAAACACAAACAAACUUUAUCUUCUCUUAAGGACACGUUGACUCCUUCUACUACAGGUGAGUAAGUCUCCAAAGGUCGAGCAUCCGGUAGAUUGCAUAGUAACGUUGUUCACCUAAAAAACACAACAAACAGAAAUAGUUUAGCCGAACUACGACAACUCUGAUUCUCAUGUUCAGAUGAGAUACGUAGGCAUGAGAUGCGAUGUCUUGUCGAGUUUGACUGACGACUAACAUUAAUCCUUGCUAGUUUUCAUCCUCGUUGCGAUUCUUUUCUCUCGCCCUCGUUGCGAUUGAGACCUUCCUUUUCUCUUGCCCUAGUUGCAAUCGAGACCCUUCUUCUUUUCGUGUGUGUUUGUUAGGAGUCGGAUAUAAGUCCAUCUAUUGGCAUUCUGUUUCCUGUUUGCGUGUGUGUUUGUUAGGAGUUGGAUGUAAGUCCAUUUAUUGGCAUUCUGUUUCCUUGUGUGUUUGUUCGGAGUCGGAUGUAAGUCCAUCUAUUGGCACUCUGUUUCCUGUUUGUAUUUCCUUGUUAGGAGUUGGAUGUAAGUCCAUUUAUUGGCAUUCCGUUUCCUUUGAGUGUUCUUUUGACGUCUCAGCGUCUCUUUUCAGUGUUUUGUUUCGGCGUGCGUUAGCCGAGCUACGAGUGCUCUGAUUCUUCCUCUGGUUAGAGAAGAUACGUAUGCAUAGGAUGCGAUGUCCUAGCGAGCACGUCUCCCAUUUCCCCGAACUACGUCGACUCUGAUGUUUGUUUCUGACAAACUACGUAGGCCCAGGAUGCGACAUCCUGCCGAGUCUGCUUUCUCCGUCUCCUCUUCCGCCUGUUUAUUAUUCCAUUGCGUGCAGUCUUUGAGCAGUUUUAUUAGCAACCUUAUUCUUUCCUUCUGAGCGUGGAUCCCAUCGAGUACGACGGACGUGAGGGGUGCUAAUACCUUCCCCUUGCGUAACCGACUCCCGUACCUAGCAAUCUUUGUUCGUAAGACCAUUCCUUUCCCUUUUUCAGGUUUACUUCGAGGGUUUCCUUUCCCUCCUUUGGGAUAAAUAACGCACGGUGGCGGCUCUGUGUCUUUUCCCGCCGGUUGUUUUUCGCGAUGCGACAGUACCAAUCAAGGUGACCAAGAGGAAAGAGGAGUCACCAUUGAUCAACUUAUAGACAAAAAUUCUCCUUGGAGGAGAACAAAGAGGCAUAUCUUGACUGAACCAAAUCCUCCUUUACCAGAUUACGUAAAACCACCGUAGCCGAUAAUUAAAAAGAAAUUGGUUCAAGAUGAUGAAGCGGGAAUGUUUGCAAAGUUCAAGGAAGUUCUAGCUACUCUCCAGGAAAGUAUUUCAUUCCAUGAAAUUUUAGAACUAAUGCCUAAGUUUGUUAAAUUUAUGAAGGCGUUUCUAAAUGGGACGGAAGAGAAAUGAAUCAAGGAACAUGUAAACAUGACCGAAAAUGAUGAUAUGGUAAAACCUCAAUCCUUACAACCUAAACUAAAAGACUCAGGUAAGUUUAUUAUUUCUUGUAAUAUCAGUGGAUUCAAUAUUCUGCAUGCUCUAUGUGAUCUGGGGUUUAACAUAAAUGUCAUGCCACUGAAAACUGUCAAAGAAUUAAAAAUGGGUGAGAUCACACUGAAUAACAUGACUCUCACUCUAGUUGAAUCGUCUAUUACUCAAUCGAUUGUUACUUUACGCAACAUAUUAGUAUCUGUGGACGACUUAUUGUUUCCUAUAGAUGUUGUAGUGCAUGAUACAAAAGGAGAUUAAGGAGGAUCUGUUAUUCUUGGACGUCCAUUCUUGGCAACCGAGAAAGCAAAGAUUGAUGUGGACACUGGUCAACUUAUCUUGAAGUCAAAUAAAAGGAAUGUGGUUUUCAAGGUAUUUGACUGGGCAUCUUAUGUGGAUAAUUUGGAUACUUUAUACCAUCCGGAGGAAAAAGGUAGAAAAGUAGACAAAGGAACAAUGAGAAAGGAAGUGACAGGCGUGAGGGUAUCCCUUGCACCUGACGUACCUUAGACAUGGAUUGUCAAGCUAGUUACGUAAAAAAAGCGUCUGAUGGGAGGCAACCCAUCCGUAAGAAAUUAUUUUUAUGUCAUAGUGAAUUUUUAUUUUUCUAACCUUGUUAAUUUUUGUGUUAUGUUGUUCGAAGAGAAAAUAGGUAAAAGAAGAAAAGAAAGAAAAAGAAAAAGGGAAGAAAAUAGAAAAAGAAAAGAGAUAGGAAAGUUUCAGCCCCUGGAAUCAUCACGCAUGAUAAUAUAAACUAGUUAUUUACAAUAAAUUUUUUUGAUAUUUAUUUAAAGAAGCACAAUUAAUAUAAAGACAAUAACACACCAAUCACACAUAAUAAUUUUAGAAUAAUUAUACUCUAAGAUUUUGAGAGUCGUGAUAUCUCCUCUUCUUAAAUGUUUAAGAAUUGGAUCUCUCUCACUAAUCUCUAUCCCCUUAUUUAUUUUAAGAAUAAACAUAUUGAAUUAAUAAAACAUAAUUGCACAUUUCUUAUAGCGAUUAUACAAACAACUAUCAAAGUUGAAAAAACUAAAGAGAGGUCAACUCAAUCUUUAUCAAAUUAAAUUAAAGUUUAUUUUAAAACACAAACAACUAGUUCAUUAAAAAGAUAACUUGUUUAGUACACAAAUGAGAUCUUACUUAAUACAUAGAAAUAAGAUCUUACAAAACAUAGAUAUUAAAAACAUAGGAACAACAUGAAAAGUUUUCAAAAUGACAUAGACAUUGAUUAACAAAGACAUGAAUUAGUUUCGGGUAUUUUUUAACCAUCCAUCAAGGUAAACUUGUUUGGAGUCAGGGGUGAAUUUUUCUUUCUCGGCUCGGAUAUCUUUCAACCAUCCAUCAAGGUAAACCUGAUUGUUGUCUGAGGUGGAUUUUGUUGUCUCGGCUCGGAUAUCUUUCAACCAUCCAUCAAGGUAAACUUGGUUGGAGUCAGAGGGCAAUUUUAUUUUUUCAGCUCGAGUGUCUUUCAACCAACCAUCAAGAUAAACUUGUUUGGAAUCAGAGGUGGAUUUUGUUUUCUCUGCUCGGGUAUCUUUCAACCAUCCAUCAAGGUAUACUUGGUUGGAGUCAGGGGUGGAUUUUGUUCUCUCAUUUCGAGUAUCUUUCAACCAUCCAUCAAGGUAAACUUGGUUGGAGUCAGACAUGGUUUCUGUUUGCUUAGCUCGAGUAUUUUUUAACCAUCCAUCAAGGUAAACUUGGUUGGAGUCAGGGGUAGAUUUUUCUUUCUCAGCUCGGGUAUCUUUUAACCAUCCAUCAAGGUAAACUUGUUUGGAGUCAGAGGUGGGUUUUGUUUUCUCUGCUCGGGUAUCUUUCAACCAUCCAUCAAGGUAAACUUGAUUGGAGUUAGGCAUGGACUUUUCUUUCUCGGCUCUGGUAUCUUUCAACCAUCCAUCAAGGUAAACUUGGUUGGAUUCAGAGGUGGAUUUUGCUUUCUUUGCUCUGGUAUCUUUCAACCAUCCAUCAAGGUAAACUUGGUUGGAGUUAGGUAUUGACUUUUCUUUCUCAGCUCUGAUAUCUUUCAACCAUCCAUCAAGAUAAACUUGGUUGGUGUCACCUGUAGAUUUUGCUUUCUCAUCUCGAGUAUCUUUCAACCAUCCAUCAAGAUAAACUUGGUUGGAUUCAGAGGUGUCUUUUGCUUUCUUUGCUCUGGUAUCUUUCAACCAUCCAUCAAGAUAAACUUGAUCAGAGUCUUGGGAGGAUUUGGUUUUCUCUGCUCGUGUAUCUUUCAACCAUCCAUCAAGAUAAACUUGGUUAGAAUUAGCAAUUUGUUUUUGACUCUUCAAUGGAUUUUUGAGCCAACCAUCAAGGUAAGGUUGAUCAGCUUGUAUUUCUUCUACAUUCUCUUGCUGAAGUUUGAUAUAUCGGGCAAAGCUUCCUUGUCCAUUCUACGAUACAAUUGAAUAAAUGGAUAUUAGUGAGUUAUUUUUGGAUGGUAUAUAUGACUAUAAAAACAAAAUUAUGUGUUUUAUG